Molecule: long non-coding RNA, 45847 nt
Filed under: Brassica napus (rape)
Lineage: Eukaryota; Viridiplantae; Streptophyta; Magnoliopsida; Brassicales; Brassicaceae
Description: long non-coding RNA (BNAP_LNC003275)
Source: RNAcentral
UGAAGUUGUUCAUCAGGUUUGCAUAUACUGGAGGUAGUUGAUCUAUCAUAUAUAAUAAAAUAAAUAUUAUAUGAUGAUGCAAUACGAUUUGACCAGUGUUAAAAAAAUCAACGUCCCAUUUAAACUUAGGAUCCAUCAAUCAGUAAAAUACCUAAAAAUCAGACCAUUUGUCGUAAUACAAUAAGAAUAUAUCCUUUUAAAACGACUUAUACUAGACAAAAACUCUCAUUACCAAAUAGAUCAUGAAUCCACGAAGAAGAUCCUAAAGCAACAUAAGUCUGAGUGCAAAACAAAUCUGUUACGCUUCUGAGAAUUUUGAUUUUUUUCUUGCCAAAGUUCGUAAGCUUUAUGUUUUAAAAGAGAAAAGAGAGGUGGCUCUACUAGAGCCACAAUCUGACACCUUUCCAUGGAUCUGUUGGUACAUUUGGAAGGUGAGGAAUGCAAACUCUUUGAUGGCAAAAGUCAUAUCCUUGAUUGACACUUUUCAACUAGCUUCUCUUCAGACAGAAAAUUGGAGAAAGGCUAACCAAAAGGAGGAGGAAGUAGAUGAGGAUCACGACGAUCCUCAUGACACAUUUGCUGAGAAAGUACCCUCUUAGAUACCUCGAAUCCCAACUUGCUAAAUCGAUGCUUCAUAGAUUGGUAAUGGCAGUGUUAGUGGCAUAGGAUGGAGUCUUAAGGAUCACAUGGGUAUUGAAUCAUUUGGACUACUUGAGUGCGAUAGAAUCCUCUCGGCUUUACACGAUGAGAUGAAAUGAUUAAUUUGGGCAGCCUUAUGUAUGAGAGACAUGAAGAUCCACUUUGAGACGAACUACUAUGACCUACUGGAUAUGACUACGAGUCCGAUGGACUCGCCAGUUGUUGUUUUGGAGAUUGAUACUUUCCGGAGUCUACCUAAUUACUUCGAGAGUGUGGGCAUCCUUCAUAGUCUUUGAAACGAGAAUGGUCGGACUGACCAACUAGCGAAAGAGGCUAAGACCAGAAGCUUUACUUUUUUCCAUACAUAUCAGACACAGUCAGAUAGAAGUGCUCCUCGGAGGACCGUCUCGUCCGACCAAAACUUGGUCUAACCAAAUUGGUAGUUGACAAAAAAAAGUUUCUCUAUUAACACUCUUGAACAAACCUAACUUUAACUUUUUAAUCUAAGGAUAUGGAGUUAUUGGAAAACUAUGUUGCCCAAGCGGUCCUAUUGAUACAGGUCUUGACCAUAAGUCAAUUUCUACAUUAAGAUUGUUAUACACAAAAUGGCAUGUAUAAAGUCAAAUCGAAGUAUUAAGUUUCUAGGAAUAUAUUUAGCUUGUAACCAUUGUGUAUUCAGAACCUACAUUACAAAACUUCAAAUCUUUGCUAUGAAAGUUAAAGCCUAGUAGAAAAUUUGUUAUUUUAUAUGGCAAGUUAUAUCAAUACAUUUAAUUGUAACUUUGAAAUUUUACAUGCCAUCAAUGGAUGUGAUAAUCAUUGUUCCAAAUACGAGCAUAUGAUAAAUCCAUUAAUUAUGAUAUUUUUGAGUGUUUCCAGCUUUACAAAUAUGGAUCUUAGCAGCAACAUCUUCUUUUCCGUUGGUAUCUCCUAGUAUGAGUGUAGGGUCGUGCCUGAUACCAAGCAGAUCAAGCAUUGGUUUUGGAGCCAACAAAAGAAUAUUUAUUUUAGGGGCCAAGGAUAAGUGAAGUUUCUCUUUAGUUCUGGUGGCAAAAACUAGAUAUAUACCAGCUGGAGGUUAUGGGUUCAAAUAACAAGGGAACACCUUUUAAUAUUUUUAUGUUUUAGACCAAAUUUUUUUUUUGCUUCUGGGCUUGAAAUUGUCAGGCCCGGCCCAGUAUGAGUGCAUAUAUAUGGAUAAUCUUUUCUCGUAUUGUUGAAGCUUUCAUACGGACCGUAUCAGAAACUCACGAGCCUUAUUUUAACUUGGUGAAAAGGAAAAAAAAAAAAUUUCUGCAAUUAAGGAUUGCAGUCCACAAAGAAGGAAAACACUCUUAAUUUUAUUGAGUCACCAAAACUCACUGUUUUUACUAUUUAACAGACGUAAACGUCUAACUAAAGUUUGACUUGUACAUGACUAAAAAGGCUGAGUCAAUAGAAGUUUAGGAUUAUUUUGGAAUUUUUUAAAAAAAUUAGUAUUUAUUUGGCUUACUUAAAAGUUGGAGCUUUGUUUAGUUUAUUUUUGAAAGUUCAGGAUUUAAAUGGCGGUUUUUUCUAUGAUAAAUCCAUUAAUUAUGAUAUUUUUGAGUGUUUCCCACCUUUACAAAUAUGGAUCUUAGCAGCAACAUCUUCUUUUCUGCUGGUAUCUCCUAGUAUGAGUGCAUAUAUAUAGAUAAUAUUUUCUCGUGUAAGAAUGACAUUGAAGAUAAUUGGAUAUAAAUCCUUACCUAUUGAAAAUCUGGUAUAUUUGAAAAGUGCAAAGUUAUAAAUUGUUCAAAGGAAACAACAAAGAUUCCUUAGAUAUUGUUAGAUAUGUGGAAGCGAAAUGUUAAUCAUGGUUUGAGACUAAUAGUAAAAAUAUAGAUAUACCUGAAAAGCGACAAAAUCAAUCAUAUAUCCCAGCCGUAAGCUUACAUAAAACUUGUAUGGUUGGAUCAUGGACACAGCUCAUCUUAAUGAUUUUGGAUGGGUUUGGACAAACUCUACGGAGCAAUUUCAACUUUUGGAAGCUAAAAAAGUGUCACUAAUACAUACAAAGCUUGUUAUUCUUUCUUGGGACAGAAUGCAUAGUUUCCUGUUCAUGACUAGUGAUCUUUUUUUCCAUUCAUCUCCACUUGUUUAGAGUUUCAAAAAUUAUUAUUUAAUCUUUUUGGCGGCAUCAAAAAUUAUUACUAUUUGACUAGAGAUUUUUAGUCAAAGAUAAUAUGAACUGUGAUUGACCAAAAAAAAAAGAUUAUAUUAAUUGUGAAUCUGUGGUGCCUACCAUUUCGUAAUGGGCUCCCGAUUCAGACUAUUUGUACAAGAGUCCAAUGCUUAGUUAAAACGACGUCGUUUAGCAACUCAUGUACAAGAGUCCAAUCGCCUUCGACCUCGUUAAAGACGAGUGAAAGAGAAGAAGGUUCUAGGGUUAUAUUUGUGUAGCAAGUAAUGGCGUUAAGAAAUGCUCUACUUAGAUACCUUAGAGUCAAUGUCACGCCUACUCUCCGAAGCUCAAGCAUCACUUCUCAUCGAGGCGUAGCUCCCUUGUACGUUAUUCUUCGUCGUCGUUUCUCCGAGGAAGUCAGAGGAUCAUUCCUCGACAAAUCCGAAGUCACAGAUCGUGUUGUCUCUGUCGUCAAAACUUUCCAGAAAGUAGAGCCUUCUAAGGUAAUUGCGAGCCUCAAUUAUUUUACCACCACCAAUCUGAAAAUCCAUUUAGUUUGAUUUUGAUUGGAAUGAUAGUUCUUCUUAUGUGUCGAAACUAGCAAUACAUUGCGAUAGAUUGGAAUGAUAGUUCUUUUGUUUUGUUUUUUCACUUUAUGUGAACAAGAACCUGAUGAAGCAUAUAUAUAUAUAUAUUUGUUUGAUUUGACUUGAUACUUUAAAAGUAUGUGUGAUUCGUGUUGUUCCAGGUGACACCAAAGGCACACUUCCAGAAUGAUCUAGGGCUGGAUAGUUUGGACACAGUGGAGGUGGUUAUGGCACUCGAAGAAGAGUUUGGAUUCGAGAUACCUGAUAACGAAGCAGAUAAGAUACAGUCCAUCGAUCUUGCUGUUGAGUUUAUUGCUUCCCACCCACAGGCUAAAUGAGUCAUGAAAAUCAAACAUGUUUAUUUUGCUAGAGUGAGACAUUUUCAAUUUUUUUUUUGUCAUGUUUGUUAAUGCAUCUAGAAACGUGAUUCGUCUUCUUUAAGCAUCUGAGAAGAUUGUAAUUAAUUUGGAGUCUAUCAUAUGGUAGUAAGUCAUAAUAUAGCUUAUGGAGACGCUCUUAUUUCAUUAACCGAGACUUCUCUUCCUUAUUACCAUCAAACAAUGUUCCUUCCAUUUCAUUGUAUAAGAUGUUUCAGAAUUUUCUUCCUUCAUUUUCUUUUAUGUUUCUAUGCAAAUUUUAUAUGAUCGAUGAUACAUAUGACUAGUGCUAAUAUUCUGUAGCAUCUUUAUGUGUUGAGUUGUUUUAAUCUUUGCGUUAGAACAGCAUAUAUUUCGAUUUUAAAAAAAAAGAAUUCAAAGAAAACAUCGGACAUUGGUCAGGUUCUAAGGGGCAGGCCAUUCCUUGAAAUGUCCUAACGCGAUCUCUAGAUGGUAAAGCUUCGCCGUGACAGUUUCACCAACGACCAAGGGGCCACCGUGAGUCUUGAGGUGAUUGUCCAACGCCUCGAGCUCAUACAACAAAACCUUCUCAGUUCCGUCAUUGGCGUGAUCUUUCCUCUUCAGAAACAUGAUAAUAGCACCGAUAGAGGCAAACUCAGGAGGGAACCAUCACCAGGGAAGGCUCCGGAUACUUUUUCCUCGAUGAUUCCAACUAUAACAUCGGAAUUAGCCACCCAAUUCUCAUUGUCAUCGAACUUCACCAACGGAAACUUUCGCUCGGGACUAAUAGCCAAGAACCAGUCGGGUAUAAAGGACAGUCACCAAGAACAUCAGGUGCACCUGAAGCGGCCUUUACGCAGACUUAUAUUCCCAUUUGUUGUUCGAUAGUAUACCAUAUUAAAGUGGAUAUACAAGGCAUGACGAGCCUACAACAACCUUUGAUGUGUGAGGUUUAUAAAUACUGUAUAAUUCAAAUGUUUUUGCGUGCGUCCCAACAUUCUUCAGUUUGUCUUUACACUCUCCUAAUGUCCUAAUAGUAAUAAAGAAUAUGUACUCCUCGGUUGUUUAUUUCCUUUAACAAUGCAUUAAGAAUUUGUACUAUUGGAGUAAAGGGGUUUCCACAAAACGAGUUUUGACUUUAUGCAAUGAUUAAAGAAAGCUAAUAAUUUUGUGGUAUGUUGAAGUAUCUAGCCUUGACAACACACUAACCAUGGUUUCAAAAUACGGUUUUAGAAAAGAUAUAAUAAUAUAAAACCUGAGUCAUGCCACAAUGAAAUCUUUUGACUCUUUAAACAAUGAAGUCUAAAAUUAUUUGUCACUACACGUAAAAUCAAAUAACAACGUUAAGCCAGUCAUAACACCAGCUGGAUAGUCUGGUCGUUACCAUAACUAGCCUACGAAUGCAGGUUGUUCCAGUGACAGCUCCACAAAAGAUAUAUUUUAAAAAAAAAACUGAGAAAGAAAUGAUCAUCUUCUCCUGGGUGCGGAACCGCGAUGAAUCGCUGCUGGCGCUUGCCCUUGAGACCCCGCAGGUUGUUCUUCAGCCAUGUUACUCGCUUGUGUCACAGCAUUCAUCACUAUGAGUCCAAGUGGUAUCAAGUACAUCCACUGUCAUUCCAAAUUUCAGUUAUUUCCAAGUCACAUCACGGUUUAUAAUUUCAUUAUAUAAACGAAAUUAGUGUGUGUUUUACUCUAUAACACUCACAUAUUUUGCCCAAAAUGAUCUCUCUACUGGCGCUUCUGCUUCACCUUCCAUAUUCUCGCUACUGCCGAGAAUCUCCUCCGUGAAUAUUGGAGUUCUGCAUGUAGACAAUUUACCAAACAAGGUUUAUGUGUAUGUCAAUAACUCAAAAUCAUUUGGUGAGUUUAUAAAAAUAGAUGUACACUGACUGAUGUUUCUACCUUGGUGCCUGCUCACUACUCUUCAAGAUGGUGUGGGAGUUAAAUGUCCAUUUUCCUGGCUAUAUUAAACACAAAACAUUUAUCAGACACUCUAAACCAACAACAUUCUAAGAACCAGGUUCAGUUAACAACAGUAGAUAGGUGGUUUCAGUUCUUAGAAUACCAAAGAACAAUUGGAUAACAUGUGUUACUUACAAGUUUCAACUGUCGAGGAUACGGGCAUGCUCCAGGAGAGCCGUAACUGACUGCCAAAAUGUUGGCACCAUCCUGCAAUUGAGUAGGAAAGUGUGACAAGUUAAUAGCGAGAAACUAAUUGUCACACGACGCNNNNNNNNNNNNNNNNNNNNNNNNNNNNNNNNNNNNNNNNNNNNNNNNNNNNNNNNNNNNNNNNNNNNNNNNNNNNNNNNNNNNNNNNNNNNNNNNNNNNNNNNNNNNNNNNNNNNNNNNNNNNNNAGAGAGAAAAGAAAAUAACAAAAAUCAAGUAAUUAGUAAUGGCAAUGAAAACGUUUCUAUGUUUUAACCAUUCCAAAGGUAACAGGUUUGGACUUAUAUCUAAAAAAAAACAAGUAAAUUAGAACGUCGGAAUCACAGAAGUAAUCUUAUCUCAAAGAAGUAGAAGGGAAUGGUUAAUGUCUGUAAAAAGCUGCAACAAGAUUAACCUAGUAGAAAAAUACAAGCAGGUACCAAUAACUCAAAGAAAAAUAUAUUUGAUACUAAAAGAACUUAAUAAUGUGAAUGAUAAUUAUAAGAAAGAGUUGUCAGUAAGAUGGUGAAUCAACUGCAAAAUGGAGAUCAAAGAUUAAAAAGAAAAAAAGGAGAAGAAGUGAACUUACAGCUCUCACUGAUGCAAUCACAUACUCUCUCCCAGGUGGAGUGACAACAUUAGAUGGGAGUCUUAUUCUAUAAAAGUCAUCUCCUUUGAGCAGAUUCUACAAAACGAGUUUUCACAGCAAAGGCAAAACUUUAUUCUUGUGUAUUUUCCAAAAUUAAAAUUUAAAAAAAGAAACAAAAACCAGUAGUAGGGAGAUAACUAACUUGAAAGGCAUGUUUCUCUUCAUCAGAAAACUCAUUCCGAGCGAACCGCAGUUUCGUUAAUGUCUGCAUCCGACAAGAUAUAUGGUUAAUUAGCAAAUCAAUUUGAGUUGUUUGCACCAAAAUCUAAUCUCUGAUUCUCUAAAGUCUAUGUAACUAAGACUAUCUACGAUCGAUCGAUGAUGGGGGAAAAGAGAGCAGACCUGACCACCAUGGCUCCAAGUCUUGAGGCGAGCGGAGAAAGUGCCGGCGGAGGAGAAAUCAGAGUCUCCGAAGGCAUGUUCGAGGGUGAAUUGGAUCUUGGAGUCCAGAUCAGGAUCCGAGUACCGUCUACGGAUACUCGGAGUCUGCUUGGGAGGUGAAUCUGUGAUAACUGGUUCGGGGGAGCGAGGAUGGGAUCCUCCCUCAAGACCAAACUCCUCGUCGUCGAGGAGGAGCUCGUCUGAUUGGAAAGCGAAGGAGGAGGAGAAUAAUAAAGUGGAAAGGAAGAGCACAAGUGUGAGAUUCGGCAUGGUCACCGUCGUCUUUCUUGUUCAAGCCGAGAGAGAGGUUUGGACUUUGGAUCCAACACAAGACUUGUUUUUGUCCAAACUUUACAUUCGUUAAAUUGCAAUUGACCCCCUUUGUAUUUAAUAAAUAUCCGUUUUCCGACUCCUAAACAUUCUGAUCCUCGUUUUUUUUAGGUUGAAAUCGAUUGUUUCCUUCAACUAUUCACACCAAGCUUCCCAAUUGUCUUCCUAAACUAAUAAUUCAACUAAUUUAUCACAAUUGUUUUCAAAUUAACCAAAUCGUAUUUAGUUAAGGGUAAUUGUCAAUAUAGCACAUUUUGAAGUUUAUGUCUCAAAAAUAGUACUAGAAGGAGAAAAUCACAAAAAUGAUAUUCAUUAAAGGGUAAAAUAUCCAUAAUACCCUUGGUUUAAAAUUAAAUAAACAAACAAAAAUAAAUAAAAAAUAAAUAAAAUAAAAAUAAAUAAAUGAAUUUUUUUUUAUAGAUUCAGAUUAUAUGUUUUCAGAUUCAAAAUUUUUAUAUUUUUUUUUUAUUUUUUUAUUUUUUUUUUCAAAUUUUCUUUUUAUAAUUUAAAAAUACUUUUUGAAACUGUUUUUAAAUUUUUUAUUUUUUAUUUUAGUAUUUAUUUUUUAUAAAAUUUAAAACCCUAAUUUCAAAAUCCUACCCCUUAACUCUAAACCCUAAGGUUUGGAUUAAUUAAUCCAAGGGGUAUAAGUGUAUAUUUAUCUCUUUAAUGAAAUCUAUUUUUGUGACUUUGAGCCUUGAAUGCUACUUUGAGAACAAAAAUUUGGUUUGGUGCUAAACUUUGGGAACAAAAACCUUUUGUAUAAACAGGUUUUUAAUGUUUUAACCUGAUGAAAACAUCAAUCUGAUUUUAAUCUAUAUUAUUAAAAUAGAAGUACAAAAAUAAAUUAACCUUUAGUUUUUCAAGUUAUUUAUACUGUCAUGCUACUGAAACUAUAAAUAAUCUUUACUUUAACUAGGAUUUGACCCGCCCUACGGGCGGGUUAGUAACUAAAAAAAGUACAUAAUGUAUCAUAUUUUUUAAAAAUAUUUUAAAAUGUAUAGUUUAUUUAAAUUGUAAGUUAUCUUUAAAUUGUAAUACCAAAAAUUACAAUUAUACGUAUUUCAAAUUUUUAAUAUUGCAAUUAUACAUUUGUAUCUAUUAUCUAUUUUGAUAAUUUAUUUUUCUGCAUUUCGUGUGGAACAUUUGUUAAUUUUAUAAUAUUUUUUAGUUAUAAUUUAACACUUAUCUUGAUCUAACAAAACAAUAUUUUAGGUAUUUCAAUUCAUAUCGUUUUCAUUUGUUUAAAGGGGAGAGUUGUUAUUGGAUAAGUGUUAAUGUCCUUCAAAAACUUAUCCCUAAAUUUUGGAGGCUUUGAAAGUUGUAAACUUUUUAUAAAGAAUUUAAUAGUUUGGGAGUAUAAGAGAAGACAAAAUUUACCAACAAUGGAUCAUGCGGAAAGUUGAAUUCAACAGACAUAAAAAAAAGGAUUACCUCUUCGGUUAAGCUUGGAUGGAAUUGUUUUGUUAGGUUUUGGAUGGUCUGUGGACCACCUUUGGAGCAAGGGAAACCAAAGUCCUAACCAAGUUGAAUAUUUUAGAAUAUUACCUAUUUGUAUGUGUUUUGAGUGGCUAAAUAUAGCACUUAACUAUAAGUUUAAACCAAAAAAAUAAUCAUAAGAUGAUCAAUAGAGACUUUCCCUUAAACAAACAAUGUAAGAGCAUAUGAAAACAUACCGUAAGGAGACGUGGAGACACUGUUCUGCAGUCCACUUCCAGGACUAAGAAAAUCAGCUCAUCCAUGCACUGGACGUCCCUAACCCGCAAAGACCAGUAUCUUACUUUGAACCACAAAGCUUUUCCUGCGUAAGUGCAAACGGUAAAGAUCACUCUCAAACUAUGCAACAACUGAGUUUAUUAUGCAAUAAAAAUUUAUUCAAGAUUCCGAAAGAGAAUGCAAGUGAACAUAUAUACCUAUUGCGAACCGUUGUGCUAAGAAGAAACUUAAGAAAUCUUGCUGAAACGAAAGCUCCCAUAGCCAAAGGAGUAUCCAUUGUGCUCUGAAAUAAUAGAGAGGAUAUCACUUACAACUACUUUGAGCAUGACAUUUAGAUUUACGAUAGCAUAGAAAUUAAAAAAGAAAUGCACUUUGACUUGGAAAAUACAUGUGGCAGCAUAGCAUGCAUCACCCAUUUCACUAAUUGGGAAACAAUAGCAUCCACACCCCAUCUUUCGAAACAACUUCACCGUCCAAAAUCCCAAAGCUUCUUUUGUAAUGGCUAUUCCUGCAAACAAUCAUUAUGUGACAAUUAUUUUAAAAGAGUAUUGUUACCUGAAUGGGAAAUCGAGUGGCAAUUACUAUCAUUAUGCUCAAUGAUAAAUUGCUUGCAAUAUACAUCCAUUUGGUAAAAAUGUUCUCUUUACAAAUAUCAAAAGAGCGUCUGCAAGAACUGAAAAGAGGGAAGAACUAUUUAAAAAAAAAAACAAAUGAAAGCAGGGGACUAAGACUUAUUGGAGCUUACAUGUCUUGACUGAGCCAGAAUUUAUUGGAGAAUGAAUGAUCCAGCUCCUACAUGCAGCAGUGAUGAACAUGUAAACCCAUAUCUUCUUAUCUAAGCUACAAACGAUAAGUGAAAAACAACAACUAAUCAGACAUCGAAUAUCUGGAGGGCAAUCACACAGACGUUAGAUAAAGUUUUUUAAUUUUUUUUUUGCUAAAAUACGUUAGCAACAGUUGGUUUUCAAUAAUCUGAGGAAACAUGAUAAAUAAGAAGAGAGGAUCCUUACGUUGUCGAUUUGCUUGAGAUGUCGUUAACAGUGAAUUCAAAGAGAGGAAUGAGACCCGUGAUCUGGAUCUUCCCACAAAUAAUAUCAUGUGUGAGUGAAGCUAUAAACAUAGUUUCGACUUUCGUCUUUCAAUCAUACGAACUAACCUAACCUGUAAACAAAAAUCUGUAGGGAAGGAAGUCUCAUUAGAUUCAAAACAAAUAAAACCUAUAUAAAUUUCAGUACUUGUAGAAAGACAAAAGACUUAAAAAUAUCCAGCAGAAAGGCAAAGACACUACCUAAGCGUGAGGUUUGAUUUACCAAAUAUGACCCAUUUGAUCAACAGAGCCAGAAGCAAGCUUUUCCCGUUAGAAUUCCAGGCCACCGAAUUGAAAGACCUACGAAAAGAUGAAGAUCAAAAGAUGGAAAAAGUCCUAAACUUUAAAGAAAAAGAAGCUAAACCUAACCAGCUCAAGGAUGUUGAAAAUUCAGAGAUGAAAAAGUCCACAACUUAACUCAAGAACAGACAAAAUAGGUAGCUCAACUAAUUUAGAAACCGCUUUCAAAUCUCCAUUUAUCAACCACCAAAGCUAAUAAACAAAACGUAUCUUAAACUGGAUGAUGAUGCAGUGGUUUAUAGCAAAAUUAGUUGUUUCAUCGUAUAGGCCGAUCCUUCAUUCUCUGAGAACCCGUGCAGAUACCACAGCUCAGUAUGACUACGGUCGUGUGAUAAUGGCACCGGCUUCGACUUCUUCUCAGGUUUAUCAUAGCGGUGUUCACAGAAAGCGCGGGCGGCGUGCUCUAGGCUCCAAUUGUUGUCGCUGAGGUCCUUGGUUCUUCCGCCGCGGUUCUCUGGCUCUCAGACGGAGGUUGAGCCGGCGACGGCAAGUUUUUCUGCGGCAAGCCUCCAUCGCCAUAAAGAUUUCGUGUAACGUAGUAAACAGAGAAGAGGAAGAGAAAGGGGAUCGAAGAUCCAUUUUGAUAAAUUAGGGUUGGUUCUUCGUGGAAAGGGGAAAGGGGACUUCAGAGAGCCACCGGUUUCUCGAUUCUGAACAUUAUCGGGCCUGUAGAAUGCGAGGCCCAAAUGACACGCGCGGACCUUCUGACGUGACGAAUAUCUGAUUCCCUAUUGGUUGAUUUUUUAUACUGACGUGGACAGACUCAAUGGAGCUCAUAUAUCCUUUUAAUAUAGUAUAGAUUAGUGUUAUCUUUUCCAAUUAAUAAAUACAUUUUCCUAAUUCUAAUUCGUACCUACAAUUAAUUGAACAUAAUCUGUUUUUUAUUAACUAAACUACAGUUUGAAAAAUCUCAGGAAAAUGAAAUCGUUUUCCUCCAAACUAAAACCUACAACUUUCUUCAACACCUAUGAGCACCUAUAGCUCAUGAACCUGUAAACAGAGCAAUGAAACAUAACUUUAGUUUUUUAAAACAAAAAUCAUGACUUCGAGUCUUCAUUGCUAUCAUACAUAUAUUAAUAAUUAUUUCUCCACAAGUCCAAUGUUCAAUCACGUUCUAAUUGGUAUCGUAUUAUUGUAACCUAUAACCGAGAUAGAUACAUAUUUUUUUCUUUAUUAAUGAAAUCAAAUCAUCUAUACAAAUCGAUUUUUUAAUCUUUCUGAACAAACAAAAUCAAUAAGUUCAGAUCAAAACAAAAUAUCUUUUAUUAGUCUAUCCAAACCUAUAAUCAAUGUCAGAAUCUUUAUUAUACCUAUAAAAUAUAGAAACUAUAGCCUGAAUUAUCGCUAUCUAUUAUAUUUAUAUAAAUCUAUCUAUACUAUUAUUUAUAAAGUGAUUUAGUUAAUUUGUCAUGAUUUUCAUGAUUUUAGGUAAUUUUGCUUAUUUGUCAUGUUUUAAUUAGGUUUAAGCUGAGUCAUUAAUUUAUUAAUAGUUUUUAGAUGAGUUCAUAAUUUAUUAAUUUAAAUAAUAUAACUAUAAAAUAUGUAAUUAGAUGUAUGAUUAUUUUGAUUUUGUUUAUUUGUUAUGUUUUCCAUGAGUUUAGUCAAUGUUGCUUAUUUGUCAUAUUUUUAUUAGGUUUUAGCUUACUCAUUGAUUUAUUAAUAAUUUUUAGCCGAAUCACUAAUUUAUUAAUUUUUUAAAAAAUAUCUGUAAUGAAUUUUAUAUAUAAUUAAAAAUAAAUUUUAUUUUAAGAGUAUAAAGUUUAUAUGUUAUAUGUUACAUUAAAUAAUUGAUUAUAAAAUAAUAUAAUAGAAUUAUAAAAAAUAAGAUUAUUCUUAUAUAUAUUGUGUUGCUAUCUGAAAACAAUAUUUUAUUAUAAAAGUUAAAAAGUUAAGAUAAAAAAAGCAAUUGAUAAUUAAAUAUUAGUCAAGCAAAAAAAUUAUAUAAAGAUAUUUUCUAAACUAUUUCUAAGAUAUGAGUGUUUAAAAAAAAUUAACACAAUAGUAAGUAUAUAUUUUGAUAAAAAAAUAUUUGACAUAUAUAAAUACUUUGAUGUUUGAUUUAACUAUUUAAAACCAUAAAUAAUAACUUAUUAUGUUGGUUUUAGAUUAUUCUCAGUUUCAUAAUGGUAGUUGAUUUCACCAUUCUGCAUCACUUUGCCACACCAACUUCUUUCACCUCAAUUUAUGUGCCUAUUGCAUCUUUGUCCUUGGAAAGUACAGUAAUACGAAACAUCAGAAGGAAAAUCUGUAUGGAAGGAAGUCUCAUUAGAUUCAAAACAAAUAAAACCUAUAUAAAUUUCAGUACUUGUAGAAUGACAGAAGACUGAAACAUAUCCAGCAUAAAGGCAAAGAAACUACCUAAGCGUGAGGUUUGAUUUUCCAAAUAUGACCCAUUUGAUCAACAGAGCCAGAAGCAAGCUUUUCCCGUUAGAAUUCCAGGCCACCGAAUUGAAAGACCUACAAAAAGAUGAAGAUCAAAAGAUGGAAGAAGUCCUAAACUUUAAAGAAAAAGAAGCUAAACCUAACCAGCUCAAGGAUGUUGAAAAUUCAGAGAUGAAAAAGUCCACAACUUAACUCAAGAACAGACAAAAUAGGUAGCUCAACUAAUUUAGAAACCGCUUUCAAAUCUCCAUUUAUCAACCACCAAAGCUAAUAAACAAAACGUAUCUUAAACUGGAUGAUGAUGCAGUGGUUUAUAGCAAAAUUAGUUGUUUCAUCGUAUAGGCCGAUCCUUCAUUCUCUGAGAAUCCGUGCAGAUACCACAGCUCAGUAUGACUACGGUCGUGUGAUAAUGGCACCGGCUUCGACUUCUUCUCAGGUUUAUCAUAGCGGUGUUCACAGAAAGCGCGGGCGGCGUGCUCUAGGCUCCAAUUGUUGUCGCUGAGGUCCUUGGUUCGUCCGCCGCGGUUCUCUGGCUCUCAGACGGAGGUUGAGCCGGCGACGGCAAGUUUUUCUGCGGCAAGCCUCCAUCGCCAUAAAGAUUCGUGUAACGUAGUAAACAGAGAAGAGGAAGAGAAAGGGGAUCGAAGAUCCAUUUUGAUAAAUUAGGGUUGGUUCUUCGUGGAAAGGGGAAAGGGGACUUCAGAGAGCCACGGGCUUCUCGAUUCCGAACAUUAUCGGGCCUGUAGAAUGCGAGGCCCAAAUGACAUGCGCGGAGCUUCUGACGUGGCGAAUAUCUGAUCCCCUAUUGGUUGAUUUUUUAUGCUGACGUGGACAGGCUCAAUGGAGCUCAUAUAUCCCUUUUAAUAUAGUAUUUUAAGCUUUUAUAUAGGUCAUUGAUUUAUUAUUAGUUUUUAACUGAGUAUUUAUUAAUUUUCACAAAACCCGUAAUGAAUUUUAUAUAUAAUAAAACACACAUUUUAUUUUCAUAAUAUUAAAUUUAUAUGUUAUAUUAAAUAAUUAAUUAUCAACUAAUAUAAUAAAAUUGUGAAAAUAUAUUUAAAAAUUAAGAUAAAUCUUAUAUAUAUAUAUUGUGCUGUUAUCUGAAAACAAUAUUUUUAUUAUAAAGUUAAAAAACUAAGAUAUAAAACAGUUUAUAAUUUAAUAUUAGUCAAACAAAAAAUUUAUAUAAAGAUAUUUUCUAAACUAUUUCUAAUAUAUGAGUGUUUUAAGACUUUUAAUACAAUAAUAAAUACAUAGUUUGGUGAAUAUUUUUUGACAUAUAUAAAUAAUUUGAUGUUUGAUUUAACUAUUUAAAAUCAUAAAUAAUAACUUAACUUGUGACUGAGUUCAAAAUAAUUUUUCUUGAUUUUACUUUAAAUGAGUUUAAGUUUAAUCCGUGAAACACUAUAGCUUCAGUUGGUGAGCACUAGAAGAAUGAAAAAAAUGAACAAAAUAAAAAAUAAAAUUUCAUUUGAGGAAUUGAAAAAAAAAAUAGAUUUUUGUUCAGUUUGUUCCUUAUCAAAAUUGCAUAGUGAAUUUUUUUCUUAUAAAUUCAUUUCUCCAUGGAGAAUUUAGAAGGAAAAAGUGAGAUCUACCUUUCAAUAAUUAGACUAAAAUUUAAACAUAACUGGUAUAAAUUAUGAGGAACAAAAAAUUCACCAUAAUUUUUUUCCUUCAAUAUGUUCACCAAUUAGAGUUUUAUAAUGCUGAUUUUUAGACUAAUAAGACAUAGAAUAAUAAGUAUUCGUAAGAUGAUUAUGCCUCCGCAUGUGCGGACAAAACACCUAGUAAUAUAUUAUCUAUGAAUUGUUUCCAAAUCAAUUCUUUAUUCCUUGACUAGCGGAAAAGUCAACAAUAAAUUCAAGAUUUUUUUGAGUAAUUUUGUAUCCCAGCAAUAACUUUCUUUUUAUAAAAUAUAAGCCCAAAAUAGUUUGUUAUAUGUUAAAUAAUUUUUUUACACAUACAAACCAAUAGUUUUCUAUUUCUUAUGAUUUCAAUUCAGUAAAGUGUUUUGGAUAUCUAUCAUAAUUUCUAAACUCCUAUGUAAUAUAAAUUUUAGUAAUAUUUUUACCACUAGAUUUGGAAGUAUUUUGUUCAAUUACUUCAAAAUACUUUUAAUAUUAGAUUUUCAGGUAUUUUAAUGCUCGAGUUAGACAUGAGCUUUAAAAUUUUGGGCCUUGAACUAUUAAAUAUUACCCAAACUAUUAUGUAUCUUAGUACAAAAUUAAGCUCCUAAGUUAUUUUAUUAUUGUUCAAAUUGUAAUCUAAAUGUUUAUAUAUUAAUUUUUUUUGAAAUGCUAUAACUAAUUUAUCAAUUUUUGUAUACUAUACUAACUCAUUUUUUUUUCUUGAGAUCUGAUAUUUUCAUAAUUCAAAAAAAAAUUGUUUUCUAUAUAUCGUAUAAAUAAAUUUCAUUAUAUAUACAUGUUUGAUUUGUUUAUAUGAUACUAAAUAUCAGUGAUACAAUAGAUUAUGAACACAGAAAAAAUAAUCAAUGUAAUACAACUAACUUUUACAAAUGCAUCAUUUUGGUACAAACAAAAAAAAAACAAAAAAUUAAUAUCCACGCGGUCGCGCGGCUCUAGGUCUAGUCCUUCUUUAAAUAGGGUUGUCGAUUAGAAUUAAGGGUCAAAUUUAAUUUUUAAUACGUUUAAGUCAUUAGGAAACAUUGAUAUCACUCAAAUUACCCUAAGAAGUGACUUUACUUUCUCAAAUAAGAGGUUCAGUUGUAGUACUUAUGGAUCAAAUCCACAGAGAGUUAAGGCACACAAUAGAUAUAAACAGUUUAUGAUUAAGCUAGGCAAAUAAAUAAGAAAGCAGUAAAUAAAACAAAUAGGAUGAACAACGUAGUUGUUCAGUAGAUUGAUGGAGUUUGAUGGAAGGAGGUUUUGCUAGAUCUAGGAUUUAUAUUCAGGUAAUCAGGAUUAUAAUGAUAUAAAGACUAAUUGUUGUAUGCAAGAUAUUAAAGAGCAACAGUUAAGAACAAAUCGAUCGGCUCUCGCUUUCUAGAUUUGUCAAUUAACUAGAUCUAAUGAUCUCAACUAUCGUUUGUCGAUCAAUUAGAAAGUGUCGAUCGAUGAUUCUAGAGGAAUAUUGAUCGCUACACCUUUCACGACGUCGAUCGAUUAUUCUAAUGGAAUAUCGAUCGACACGAUUUUAGCAAGCUUUGCGCACGGGUUGAUAAAGUGAUCACUUGUUUCUACUAAUCCUAGUUCAAUGAAGAUCUAUUUAGAGAAAAGACCAAGCUAUCACUUGUGCCUAAUGAUUCUAAAAUCAGGGUUCUAGUUCGCGACUCUAGAAUACAAGCAGUAAGAACAUCCUAUUGAUGAAUAUCACAACCUAGAAAUUAUAUAUUUGGGGCUAAUCCCUCAUAACCUAUUUGAACCCUAAACCUAACGAGUGAAUCUAUUCAAACAUGAAGUUUGUCACAUAAAUCAUAGAUGAAUAGAUGAAUAACAUAAAAUAUAAAUAAAACCAAAACCAAUGGAGUUACAAGAGGACUAUGAAAGAGUUCCUCUCUUCUCUCCUAACCUAGAACUAUGAAUAAAAUAAAGUUUAGCCGUCAGCAAUGACUUAGAAAACACAUAAAUAGGGUUUUAGGUCGUCCAAAGGUGUUCUGGUAAUUUGUGGUUUUUUAUGGGCUUCAGUCGGUCAUAAAAUAUGCUCAGCCCAUAUUCUGCCAUCACCGUCGACCGAUGUCAAGGGUUCACCGUCGGUCGACACUCCUUCAUCUCCUCGACAUCUUCCUCUCGCGAGGCAGACUCACUACUCUUCAGUAAAACGAGCAUAACUUCUACUAUAAGCUGCUUAUCGACCUCAAACCGGUGGCAUUAGAACGCUAACUCAAAGCUCUAUCUUUUUUAAAAUGAUGGGCUCAAUCUGACGGUGAGAAGGUCUCCAUCCAUAGCUAUACAUCUGACGCGUAUGUGCAGUUCUGCAUCUCAAAAGGCUCCAAAAUCACCAUAUUUCUCUAGAACGUACCUGGUACGACCCUGGAUAGGCUGUAACUCCUUGGAUCUCUUGUAGGUGGGUAAAUGCUUUGAUAAUCCUUGCAAACAGAGAAUCAAAUACUCGAUCUGUAUCAAGGCGUGUGGAUUGAUGUGGGACACAAGAGAGAUGGCUCGCCUCCUGAUACUCCAAGGCCUCUGGUCUGGAUAUGACACACCAAAUCAGAGAACCCAAGCUGGAUAUUACACACCAGUAGAAUUGAGAGAAAACUCAAAACAAAGAAGAUGAUAAAAAACGUCGAUUGAUUGAUUUCUCAGCUGGGUACAAUGAUAAAUAGAAAUCGACUAACAUACCCUAAUCCUAAACGAGAAUGGUUUAGUUUAAUUAUAAUCCUAAUCCAAUUCGAAAUUGGUUUAUUACCUGGUCAAAUCCUAAUUCUAUUAAAACUUGGUUUACAUCGGUUUUGAAUUACAAAUAAGAAAUUAACCAACAAGCUCGUUCUUCUUUGGUUUCUUCUUGGGCAUGAUUUGAACUUGAUCUUGAAGUGUCUCCUAAUGUUCUUUAGAUCCUCCACGUCCUGUUGGUCCAGCAAAAGAUAAAGUGGAUCAAGCUUCUGGUUGCAACUCUCUUUAUGGGCCGAAAAAGCUUUAUUUUGCCAACUUCAAAUCUAACUCAAUCCAUCUCCUUCCUGACGUGUUUGCCUUGUUUUCCAUGCAUAUUAGGAUGAUAAUUGAGGUCUCUAAAGCUCAGCUUGAGUUCAGGUGCAUUGCUCUUGAUCUCUUCUUUGUUGCUCACCAAAACGGCUCUAUCUGAAACAAUGAUCAGCUUCUCUGCUCCUAGUUUAAUCAGCUUCUCUGCUCCUGGUUUGUUCAGCUUCUCUACUCCUGGUUUGAUCUGAUGGUUUAAUCCUUCUCGUUCAAGUUGUUGCAAGGCUGUAUAAGAGUUCUCAUUCUCUAUCUAUCCAGAACUUCAUAAAUCAUUCCAAUGAGACCUUGAAACUGCCAAUUCAGCCAAGCUUUGAUCAGUGUAUUUGCUAGCCCAUUCAUUGGAUCCGAUCCCUUAAGUUUGAGCCUGAUCAGGAUCGUAUCAGUACCUGAACAUGUAAAUACUCCAAAUAGACUACAUAUACUAGUAAUUAGUUAUUAAAACACUUAUUAACUAUUUCUAAAAGUGGGUAAAAUCCAUGGUCUAUCAAACAUAUUUAUAAAAAACUAGAGAAUAAUCCACACUACGCACGCUUUGGAGCCUUUCUUAUCGCUUAAAUUUUAUACUAUAUGAUUUUAUACUAUCUAAUUUUUAUGGUUUGAUAAAAUUAAAAUUGAUAAGAUAAAUAGUUGAAAAAAUAGGAGACUCGGCCCGUUAAACUGGUCCAAACGCCAGUUUGAGUUGGCAGUUCCCGACCAGAUAACCACUACGGCUCAGCUUUUCAUUCGGCGCCACAUAAGCGCAUCAGAUUGGCCCAAAAAGAGAUUGAUCGGUCUGACCGUUCGGCCUAGCCACAAUAAGCCAAUUAAGGCAAACCAACCUUAAAUAGGAUGACAAAGGAGCACCUAUAUAAGAAAAGGAAGAAGGAGCAAGAGGUGGAUCUGAGCGUACACAUACACGCUUGGGGCUAGAAUUAAAGUUUUGCUCUUUUAUUUCUUGCUGAUUUGUACUUUCCUCGCCAGCGUUCUGAACACCGGCUUACUUUUCGAUCAAAUUUUUCUUAUUUAUAAUCGAACAUUUCACCGAUCUAAUAAAACACCUUUGAACUAACCCACCACGAAUUUCGUCUCUAUUACCGAUAUCCGACCAAAUUCGGUUCAAACAGUUGGUGCCUACCGUUUAAAAAUAUGAUUAAUCUUAAAUAUAUUAGUCUAAAUCAAGGUUAAAAUAUUAUAAACCAUGGUUUACAAGUUGACACAAAAUUUAGAGAUCGUGCAAAAUAUAUGGCUUUUAGAGGAUAUUCAAUAUUUUUUCAAGUGGAUGUAUAGUAAAUAAAAGGAUUUCGACAGAAUAAUGAGACUUAAAAAUAUUUGAAGGAAUUUAUCCAUUCUACAUGCAAAAAUUUGAGGUUUUAAUUUGGUAAUAAAAUAUAGAAUUAUUUUUUUGGCAAAUCGAAGUAGAUUUAAAAUUACUCGUAGUUGGUGGAGAUAUUGUACACCGGUGGAAUGACCAGUUGUUCAGUCUAUUUGAAGAAAUUUCAAAAAUGCAAAAAGUCUUUUAAUGUUUUCACAAUCUCACAUGUUCCAAGACAUACAUGUUCUAUAUUGAGUACACGAGUUCAGAUAACAUAUGUUGUUGAGUGUUGACAAAAAGGUUUUUUACCAUUGAUUUCGUCAUAAGUUAAAAGAGUUUUUCUAUUGUUGAAAACAAAAUUGUUGUUGAGAAAAGGAGGAAAACGUUUUGAUCCACAAAGAAAAGCGAAGGAAUGAAGAGAUUCUUGCUGGAAUUGAGAGAAACAAGAAAAGCGAAGGAAUUUAAGCAAUUCUUACUAUUACUAAUUUUAAAAGUUAAUUCCGUUAUUUUCUUAAUCAUUUUUUUUAAAAAGAAAAUAGUAUUAUUUAAAAAAGGGUGUCCUAAUAAUGACGAAAUAUGUUGAAAAUCACCGUUGGAAAGGCGUGGCUUUCGCUUGCGUUUCCCUCCCAUCUCGUUCCCAUGUCUCCCCCUCCCUUCCUCUCUUACUUCCUUUACUUUAUGUUUCAUAUUCAAUUUUAAUCUAUUAGAGAUACCAAAUCAACAAAAAUACACUUUACAGAAAGAAAAAAAAAAUACAAAAUUUAAAAAUUUCUUGAAUUGAAUAUUGUUGUAUUUUUCUUUCGGAUUUGAUAUCGAUUUAAAUCUCUGAGGUUUACAUCAAAGAGGGUAAUGGUGGUGGCGAUGGAUCUGAGUCUAAGUUUACGCAUCAUAGCGGCCGUUUUAACGAUGGUGAUCCAGUUUGCUUCGGGCAGUUUCGUGUUCAAUGUGACGCAUAAGUUCGCAGGAAAAGAUAAACAGUUAUCGGAGCUCAAAUCUCACGACACCUUCCGUCACGCUCGGAUGCUCGCCAACGUCGAUCUUCCUCUCGGCGGUGAUAGCCGAGCUGACUCGAUCGGGUUCUCACACUAUUUUCUACAUCUUUGAAAGCUAGAGUUGAAUGUGAUCUUUAGUUUCAAUCUUACAUUUUGGGUUGGAUGGAUCAAUAUGCAGUUUAUACUUCACGAAGAUCCAGCUAGGAUCACCACCAAAGUACUAUCAUGUUCAAGUUGAUACGGGAAGUGAUAUACUUUGGGUCAACUGUGCUCCUUGUUCCAAAUGUCCUGUCAAAACUGAUCUCGGUGUAAUGUUUUUUUUUUUUUUUUUUUUGGUAAAAGUAAUGUUUUUUGUUUUUUUUUUCAAACUUUUUUUUUUUCAGAUCAUUCUCAUUCUCAUUCUCAGCUGGUUUGUUUUGCAAUGCAAUGCAGAUACCUCUGUCGUUGUACGACUCAAAAGCUUCCUCCACUUCCAAGAAAGUUUGGUGCGACGAUGAUUUCUGCUCCUUGAUUUCGCAAUCAGACACUUGCGAACCCGAGAAGAAGCCCUGUAGUUACCAUGUCGUCUAUGGAGAUGGAAGCACCAGUGACGGUGAUUUCGUCAAGGAUAACAUUACCCUCGAUCAAGUCACUGGUAACCUUAGAACCGCACCUCUUGCUCAAGAAGUUGUCUUCGGGUGUGGAAGCAACCAAUCAGGACAACUUGGGCAGACUGACUCAGCCGUUGAUGGCAUUAUGGGAUUUGGACAAGCGAAUACCUCUAUCAUUUCACAACUCGCUGCCGCGGGAAGUGUGAAGAGGGUUUUUGCACAUUGCCUAGACAAUGUUAAUGGAGGUGGGAUCUUUGCUGUUGGGGAAGUUGAGUCUCCAGUUGUGAAAACAACUCCUUUGGUUCCUAAUCAGUAAGUGAGAGACACCAUCUUUGAAUGUAGAAUUCUUCUUUCUUUAAGGCAUUUAAGCUUAUGGUUAUUAUGUAUAACAACAACUUUAUCCAACAAUGUUGUUUGUUUAGGGUACAUUACAACGUCAUUUUAAAGGCAAUAGAUGUAGAUGGCGAUCCUGUUGAUCUCCCACCAAGCAUUGCUAGUUUUGGCGGAAAUGGAGGAACCAUUAUUGACAGUGGUACAACUUUAGCUUACUUACCUGCGAAUCUCUACAACUCCCUACUUAAAAAGGUGAAAACUCUUUUACAUUCUUUAAUUUGUUUCUAGUGUUUAGUCGUCACAACCCUGACUGAUGAUCUGUGUAAAUAUAAUAAUAGAUUACUACUAGACAACCGGUGAAACUGCACAUGGUACAGGAGACUUUUGCGUGCUUCAGUUUCACUUCAAAGUAAGAUGACUUGCUUUGUGUUUCUACACUUUUUGUCUCAACCAUUUUUGACACCAACAAUGUUAUAUAUAUUUGCUUUUAAGUAAAACAUUCAUCACAGAUACUCAAAUUGCAUGUGUAGAAACAAGAAGAUCUAUAAGAUGCUUUGGCCAAGGAUGUGCUAAUAAUAUUCAUUAUUGUACCUGCAGCACAGAUAAAGCAUUUCCGGUAGUCAAUCUUCAUUUCGAGGACUCACUCAAACUGACUGUUCACCCGCAAGAUUAUCUUUUCUCACUUCGUGUAAGUCAAUUUCUACUUUGAUGUGUUUGUGUCAGACCGAAUAUUCAGAGAGUCCCUUCCUCUUGUAUACAUUUUUGUCUGUCUCGUCCACAAAUUGAGCUUUUCCAUUUCUUACAGGAAGACAUGUACUGCUUUGGUUGGCAAUCUGGUGGAAUGACGACGCAGGACGGAUCCGAUGUAAUCCUUUUGGGCGGUAAAUUUCAAAUCUUACUAUCUGAUAUUUCUCAUCUUUAAAAUCAUCUGUGUGUUUUUAUGGUCUCCCAUGUGUAUCAGUCCUCAAAUUGGGUUUUCUUCAUAUGUAGAUUUGGUGCUUUCGAACAAGUUAGUAGUAUACGAUCUGGAUAAUGAGGUCAUUGGAUGGGUAGACCACAACUGUAAGUAUCUAGAACCUGAAAACUAAACUAGCUGAAAAGAAGAAUUCAAACAAAUAUCUUUUUUUCUUCUCUCUCAGGUUCUUCAAGCAUCAAAGUGAAAGAUGGAUCAGGAGCUGCUUACUCACUUAAAGCAGAUAAUCUCGUACAAUCUGCUUCUUCGGUGAUUAACGGAACACUUGUAACGUUAUUAUCGAUACUACUUUCGAUUUUCUAUACUUUUACUUUAUAGUUUUGCUAAAAGGAUAUACAUUGUUUUUUUAUAACUCAUUUGAAACCUCUUUGUGGUUGCGACUUGGCAUUUCGAGUCAUGUAAGUUACAUAGACAACUAACUUGCUCAUUCUUUCGUGUAUAACUCUCAAAGAUAAAUAUAUAUUCUCUUGUUUUGCUCUACUUUUUGGCCGUAAUUUAUACAAAAAAGGUUUACUUCUCAAAAAUAUGUUUUGGGAAAGAAGACACUAUUUUCUGUUCAAAGAAGUAGGAAUGCAAUAUUGUCAUGCGAUUAAAAAUGACAAGAUUUUAUUUGUUUGUGUAUCGCCUGCUCGGUCACUUAAGGAUUUUACACAGAGAUUUGAUCGACUAGUCAAUGGACUAGAGUGAUUGAUCAAAGGACUAUCACCUAAUCAGUCUAAAGACAAUUGGAGUUUUUUUUCAAUCUAUAGAUUUUUUUAAAUCUUCAGCAACUUAGCCUCCACCUACAAAUGACCAAGAGCUUCGUAUAUUUCAUUGCUUUGUUCUAUUUUUUUACCUUGUUCAUUGGAAAAACUAGAUUGCAUACACUUUCCCCAACCAGAUCAUCAUCGAACACAGAGUUUGUGUUCUAUGCAAUCUAGUUAAGUAAAAUAACCACCAGAGCUGCCAAAAUUCAGUUGUACUAGCUUAACAAACCACAUAUAUAAUGUUUAAGGGUGUCAGCUGACCCCCCCCCUUUCAUACAAAUGAUCAUAACUCUUAAACCAAAGUUCUAAAUGAAGCUCCGUUUUGGGCUAUAGAUAAGACAUAUGAGUGAAGAACUUACCCUAUAGUUUGACUUCGAAAUUCACUGAUUUUAUCAUCCAUUCUUUUUUUCCAAAACAUAUUUGAUGCGUUUCUUAUCCUUUUUAGGUGGUUAUAAUGACUUUUUUUUCAUGGUGGCUAUUGAAGGUGGUUCCGAUGUCAUUGCGGAAAUAAUUCACCACUCCAUAAGCCUCUCUUAAAAGUCAUCAUGAAAUUUCUAAUUAAAUAGAGAAAACUUAUGGUUUCUUACAAUUAAACUGGGUCAAAAAUUAAAAAAGUCGUUAGAGAUACAUAUCAUCUGAUUUACAACUAUUUGACAAAGAUUCUUUGGCAUGCCACACAUUCUAAAUUUACUAUUUAUAUGUUCUUCUGAAACGCUGAUGUUAUCUGAGGAAGGAUCAAGGACUCUUGCCUUGGAUUUAUGUGCCUCAGCAUCCCAACCAAAAUAAAGCAUUAAAGGCACAAAAGCAGAGUAGACACUCUGAACAGUACUGUGGUUCUAAAAAGCAGAUGCGGUUUCUAACAUAUAAAAAUUGCUCAAACAAACACAAAUGCGGCUUCAGAAAUUUAUUUACAAAAAAGGGAAAAAAAGAGAGACCGUAGUAAAAGUAUUGGCAGAGUUAUAUAUACAAACAGACUUUUGGCGGGAACAUAGAGCAUAAGAGACAUUGAGACUAAAAAAACUGAAAUGGAGAGAGAGAGACAAAGUCUAAUCUCACAUUUUCACCUCCUUCCUCUGUUCUAUCUCUCUACUCUUUGGUUGGCACGUGCAUGGGCAGAUUCACAAGUGUGUCGAUUCUGUCGACUCCAUUGAGCUCAGGUGAUUCGGUUCCUGAGCCUGGAGUUGACGUUGAUGCCGUGUCCGGUUCAGAAAGGCCAUUGCUGAUGUGUUUAUCCACUGAAAAAGAAGCAGUUGAUAAUUUGUCUGGUUUCGAGUCAAGGAAGAGGCAAACUACAGCGCAGUCAUCGACUUUUGAAGUAGGAAACUUCCAUCUCCAAUUCCUCACUGCAGCUUCCACCAAGGCUCGACCAGCUGUGCAACGUGUUGGUGCUUUCGCUACAAUCUCCACUACUUCCUCAUUCGUCAACACAUCCCAAAUCUAGCAAAAGUUUCAAGAUAGAAAAACAGUUACACUUAAAAGACCAAAUAGUUUUGCACAUCCAUUAUGCAUUUAUUCAACACUAUGUCAGACACUGUGAUGUCUCUUACCCCAUCAGUUGCCAGUACAACAAAUUCAUCUUUCUCAGUGAGGCGUCGGUAAGACACGUCAGGCACAGAAAUGAGACCAAAGUCCUUAAGGCAAAAAUCUCCAAAAGCACGCGCCAUGGCCAGACCAGGUGAGUUGUGGUUAGGAAGCCAGAGGCGGGCAACCCCCGGUUCAUCCCGGAGAGCGAAUAUACGUCCUCUGCAUCUCUUUAUCCUUGCUGCUUCAGCUGGGAACAAGAAAACUCCAACUUUAAUUGAUAAAACCAAAUUAUCUUCUCAAAUGUCUAAAUGCUUAAACUAAAGUUUCAUCACUAGUAGUUCCGUAAGACGAACAUAACGAUGAUGGAAUUGAUCAAGCGUAAACGGUUUCAAAACCUUUAUUAAGAGUGGUAAAUAACCUGGAACAUCUGGUUUGAGAUCUUCAGUUAACUGAAAAGGAACAAGUUUAUUCUCUUUGUUCCUCGUACCCAAUACCGCUCUUGAAUCCCCAAUGUUUCCAACAACAAGAUGUUGACCCUACCCAAAGAAGAAAAAGAAAAAAAAAAAAGAGUACAAACAAUCAAGAUUUCGAAACAAAACUCAGAAACAACAUGAGAAAUUCUGGUCCAAACUAACUACCUGCUUAACCAUAGUAACUGCAGUAGUUCCACUACAAAAACAAUCAACAUCCACUUGCAUCUUCAAUUCCUUGUCCAUGAAUCUGUAGGCUUUAACAAUUGAGGUCAAGAGUGUCUGAACCAUAUCCUGAUCCUUAUUGUAGACUCUGGAUUCUCCAUUAGCAGAUAUGUGGACAAGGCUUUCAGAGGUCUUUCUGUCAGCAGUGUUGAGGCUGAUCUCUUUAAGAACCUCCUCGCAGGAGACAUAGGAAGACUCCAAGUGAGAGCCUAAUUUGAGCGGAAGCAAAUCCCUGACUCUCUUCGCUAUAACGUGACCAUAAGGACCAUGUCCAUCAAAUACACCACAAAAAACAGUGUCCGCCAUCGACCCAAAAUUCUGAAACAUUUCAAAACAAAUCAAAUAUUCAGCUGAGUGACACUAGGCGCUAUUCAACUAAGGAUCUCGUCAACUAAAUCAAUAGUUGCUUGGAGUAAAACAUUUGAUGGCAUACUUUUAGAAAGGAAAUGAAGAUAACAAGAACUAUAUUGAAGUAAUACAUUAUGAUGAGAAUGUACACGACAUACUAAUUACUUUUCUUGGGAAAAAAAACAACAAAAUUGGUUUUUUUUUUAACAGCACAAACGAACGAACCUCCCAGACAAUCAUGGCGUCCUGGUUAGGACCUUUCUUGCCCUGUUGGGAGAAGAGAGAGGCAUGAUCGGUAGAGCCAUUCAAGAACAUCCUUCCAGGGAUCCUGUGGAGAAGUGGCUCAUCUUCUCCUCCUGUGUUGUCGAAAGAAGAACUGCAAGAUCUCCUCUUGGAACUGCUCUUCCUCCUCCUCCUGUUGGAACCACCAGGAGGAAUGGAUCUCCUCCUCCUGGUUUCUCCUGAAGAUAAGCAGGACCCCAUAUCAAGGGCCCUGAAUACGCUUAUCAGGCACUCCAGACCACCAACGCAAUCGAAAUCGAAACUAGUGGUUUCCGGUGAAGGAAUCUUCAACCUCAAGCUACCUUCGCUCAACGCCAGGAUUGUAUAAUUCAACAACAAGACACCGAUUUGGUGAUGAUGAGAAACAAAACAAAUUCAAACUAUUGAUGAUCAAAGGGAUCGGCUCUAUAGCUCUCUCUCUCGGAUUAAUGCAAAAAGUUUGGAUAGAAUCAGAAGAGGAGUCGUAGUUGAAGGAAUAAGAAGAGAAUCAGAGAGAAGAGAAUGAGUUUGAGCAGUCCAGAAAUAGAAGAUGGCUUUAUCCACAAUCUCAUCCACAAACACAAAUCCAAAAGAGAAUCUUUUUCCAAGAACAAGGAGAGAUAGAUUCGGAUCUGAAGGCGAGAAUCAGAACCUGCUUUCAAGGAACAACCACAUACUUCUUACGAUUAUGCUGCUCUCCUUCUCUCUCUCUCUCUCUCUCUCUCUCUUAUUUUAUUAUUUAGGAUGCCUCUUUUUAUUUAAAAAAAAAAUGUUUUACGAAAAACUUCACGAAAAUACUUCUAUUAUUAUUUUCUUUUUACAAACUUAUCUCAGAAAAACAGGAGAUUAGCAAUGAAAAAAAUUAUAAUCCACUGUAUCUUUUCAAAUCAAUCUUGAUUUUUAUUUCAUUUAUUUUGGUUAUUUAUAAUUUCAAAUAUAAUAACCUGAAUAUAUUUAUUUUAAUACGAUAUGUUUCAGAUUGUUAAAAAAACAUAUGUUCCAACAUUUUGAUGUACAAUUUAAAAUAAGAAUGUUCCAUACAAAAUACAAUUUUUUUUUAAAAAAAUAAGACAAUUAUAUUUUGAGAAAUACUCUCAAAAUAGUACUAAAACAAGUUUUUAUUUCAAAAUAAUAAAUAAAAUAAAAAUCCGUAAAAUUUAUGUACAAAAUUUUUUAGCGUUAUCUAUGAUAUUUAUCAUAUUUAAUAUAUAUUUAUUAUUACUAGGUGAUUUUAUAUGCUCAUGCAUGGAUAUCAAUAUUUAUAAAUAAAUAUAUUAUAAUAAUUGAUAAAUAUUUUAUAUUUAGCUUAUAUAACUGUGUAAUUUUUAUGAAUGAUUUAUAUUAUGUUCACCUUUGUUGCUCUUAGUUCGAUCUUCUUGUUGGUUCACCCAUCCAGUUCGUCAAACUUGUCUAGUUCACCAAUGGCUGCAUCAAGAUUGGAUUUUCAGAAGUUUUUCAUUAAGAUUAAUUUUCAGUCUGAGAGCUUGUGGUUAAGUGGUAAAGGAAAGGGUUUGAGACGCUAACAAAUUUCAAAUUCGAUCUACAUGCUACGAAUUUCGCCGUCAUUAGUAUUGUGUUUUCUUGUAGUGUCUAUGGCUCCUGACUCCAUUAUGAUGAACAAUUUGAGAGGUGUGUAGUCAGUCCCACUAACUUGGAUUCAAUUCCCUACAAUAACCCCUAUAUCUUCCUUUUUUUGAAUAAAUGUAAAAUUUUAUUCAAAACAAACUUUUAUACAUCAAGUGCUUCUAGUUUUUGUGUAUAAGACAAAAACUCUAAAGAAUCUGUACCAAAAAAAAAAACUCAUGGUCUCGACUCCCUAGUCUCAAACCACGCGAUCAACCCCUCUUCAGGGUAUUUUCUGCCCCAGCCCCUUCACCAUGAGAAGCUUUAGACGAAUUGCUUUAUCCACAAACUUAGUAAUCGUGCUGGCAGUUUGUGGUUGUUCUCCAUGCCUACGGCUAUUUCUUUCUCUCCACAAAGUAUGAACCGUGGCUUGAAAUGCAUAUCGGAGGAGGAAUUGUUUAGUUGGUGGCAGACUGGUGUUUGAAACCAUACCAACUAUGUCAUUCUAAACCAUUCCAACUAUGUCAUUCCAUUCCAAAUCAUGCUCAGAAACUAACCUAUUUGUUGGUGCAGGUGAAGGUAAAACCUUUCGCUACUGGAAGAUUUCAGUGAUGAUUUUGACUUCUGCUGCAAGCAGGCUGAAGAGGAAUCCAUAGGGCUGGGAUUUCGGAUAUUCGGUUCGGGUUCGGAUAGGAACCGAUCGGGUCCGGGUUUUUCGGAUAAAUGAAUUCUAUACCCAAUGAGUACUUAGUAGAUUUCGGUUCGGAUUUCGGAUCGGGUACUACCGGUUUCGGGUCGGUUCCGGAUACCCGUUUCUUAUGUGAAUUAUAUAAAUAUUUGCAAAAUAAAAUAAUUAUAUACCAGUUAUUUAUUUAUUUAUUUUAUUUUUUUAAGAAAAAGUAAAUAGAAAUCGUAUAUAUAUUAGUAACAUGUAUUAAAUACAACAAAGUUGAAUUAGUCUAGUGGUAUAACAGUUGUUGCUUUGCAUAUCCAACCCGGGUUCGACCCUCAGAAGAUACAAAUCUAUGUUUUUUAAACAUAGAAUUCGGGUUAAACGGGUACCCAUUCGGUUUCGGGUAAAAACCGAAACCGAACCGAUACCCAUGGAUAAUUAACACUAAUAUCCAUCGGAUAAAUUGUCUAGGACCGAAACCGAACCGAACCGGUUCAUUUCGGGUCGGUUCCGGUUCGGGUAUUCGGUUAUGGAUAAAAAUCCCAGGCCUAGGAAUCCAUUAUCAUUCUACCCGGUAAAUAUAUUAUUGUCUUACUGACGAGCUUUGUUUGACAUUUAAAAUAACAGAUGGCGGUUCUGGCAGGUCGAGCUGUUGCUUAAGGACUGAUUACGUAUCACCUUUGCGGUUGAUACUGAUUACUGACCUCAUCAUAAACUGAUUUUCCAGCUAAAUAACUUAGUACUCUAAAAUAACGCUGUUGGAAACACUGUUGCAAGAUAAUCAAUUAUAAUAACUAAGCUUUAGUUCUCUUUGCAAAAUAAAAAUACAAACGAGUAAUGCCAAGAUGCAACCAUGACUAUGAGGUUCUCCCUAAGUCCCUCAGAGAAAGAAAAUUAGAUUUUUCCUCAAAUGCUUCCGACGGUAAUAUUGUUGGCUUUUACAAUAUUCAUCACUGAAGUAAGCUACAACCCUUCAAUUCUAUUUGCCAAAAAAAAAUUAACCGAUAGCUCCUAAAAAGCUAUCUUGGCAUUCACCAUAGCCAAAGCAAAUUAGAUUUCACUUAAGAGGCUUCUAAAUAUAACAUUGUUGGCUUUCUAAAAUUCUAAUCGGCUUGCAGUCUCAGUAUCUCCUUAGCUGUUCUUACCCUGAAGUAUGGCAUGUCCGUCUGAAAACGAUAGAAAUAAGACAAAAUGAAAACAGGAAACAUGUUUUUAUAUCAAUCUUCGCUCAUGUUAUCACCCAAUACUCAUCUUCUCUAUAAGAAUUGCUGCCUAGGGGAUCAUGUCCAGAAGUAAAUGUAAAUCUUGAUGAUAUAUUUUUAUUACCUGGCUAAACUUCAGCCCCAGUCCUCUACUGUAAAAAUCUAUGUAUUUAAGCAUAAACAUCCCACAGUCGUACCUGGACAAUUGGCAAGAGAGGAUUAUCAUCAGAUACUGCAUAACACAAACUGCUAUAAGAGAGCGGUUGAAUUUAGUUGCAGCUAGUCAUAAAUUAAAAUGAACAAAACAAGCUAUAAACUAUGGUAUCACAGAAGCAACCUACGUAGCAAGCUAUUAGAAACCUUGAUAUAUUAUGUUAACCUGAACAGAACUCAUAUCAAGAUAUAAACUCGCAUAGCCAAAGGAGGUUUUUCUAAUAAGAUAAGCAACACUAAAAUUUUGUACCCGUUCUGUUGUAGCGGAAGGUCUUUAACGUAUUCCAUGUCCCAUGAACUAAUGUCAAUAGUUUUACCAUUCUUGUCCUUCACUUCAUCCACAAAGUACUUAGCCUAAACCAAUUCAAGUCCCAGCAUUACUUAAAACUAUCACAGCAUUGUAAAAAAAAGUAAAUGGGUUUAAGUUUAUGAUCAUGAAACUAUACCAGGGCAGUCAAAAUUGUAGGAUCAGAUCCAUUAAGUGAAUCAAGAUACAUGAAUUUGCAUUCCCUUAUGUUAAUCACUGCAAGGGUCCAAUGUACAACACCAUGGAUAGGAACAAAUAUCUGCACAGGUUCAACAUCAAAAUCAAAUCGGAUGAUAUUAGUAAGAUUUACAGAAAGGAAACCAAAAGCUUUAGGUUCUGAAAAAAGCUCACUAUGUCACAGUCAAUAAGAUUAUAUCCGAGCCUUUUAUGUCUGGUCCAUCUCCUGACAGCUUUGUAAUUGUAACUGGGUCUUGUUAGCUGAACAAAUUCAUUUAAAGGGAAAUAUGUAUAAGCCCGUGAAUAUUAAUAAACAUCAACAACUGUCACAGCCAUUAACGGACUAAAAGAGAACCUUGACGUAAAAAAACGUAUUGAAGAAAUGGCAUUUGAAGUCCCUUUGAGGAUCUCUAGUUUCUCUUUCUUUCAGCAAUUCGAGAUAGAGAUUGAUGACCUAUAAAAAGAGAACAAAUUGAAACACCAUGAAUCAUCAAAUGCAACAAAAGGAGAUUAGAAAACGGAAUAAGCACAUCGUCGUUAAGCCAAGCACACGGUUUGAGGCAUUGUAAAGUCUCUCCGCGAAUUUCAAUGCCGGAAUUUUUAUGCAAAACCAAGACCUUCAUCCUGAGAGGGGAAUACGAUUGGUCAAAUUCCUAAAUAAAUAGCAUGAUGACAUUGUGGUGGAAGCUUCUAACAAAUAGUACCUGUUUCUCACAGAGAAGGCACUUUUGACUUGAGCAUCUUCCUCUUCUUUGAGCGGGAUAAAGAGUUCACGAGAUACCUUCAAAUAAACAACAAGUUUCAGAAACAGAACACAUGACAACCGUUCGUAACCAAACUAACAACUUGUCACAACUCUCUAUAAUAAACAUCCCUCAGUAGAUACUCUAUAACUGUUGUAUUCAUUCCAUAAGACAGGAGCAAGAAGAGUAGUGUACCUCAGCGCGCUUUUUCUUCAAACGGGGAGAUCGACGUAUCAAUGGUACGCUCAGAUAGCUACCCUUUGGAGCACGGGGAGGAGAAGGAGAAGAAUAUUCCUUAGCAGCUUGUUCAAUGCUUGAAUCUUCUUCAUCAACCAAAUCAAUCACUUCAUCUUCAUGUAUGGGUUUGCUUGAAUCAAACUUGUAACCAAAUAAAUUGCUUGCUUCAUGAUGACUAAUCCCUAAGCAAACACUUGUUGUCCUCCUCUUGUUACGACGAACCAGUGAUCUGAAUCUAAGAAAUCCUCUGCAACGGGCGUGAAAUUCGCGGACUUUAUAUCUAGAAAGCCUGGGGGGUAUUGUAGAAUCGGAAGCUGGCUUGUCCGAGAAUCUGUCUUGCCUCACGCCGCGCUUUCGUUUGGUCGCUGCAUAAGCCAUGGUGGGUGGAGAGUAAAUCAGCCCUCUGUGAAACCCAAGCAAGCCGUUCGUCUUGUUCGCAGAGCGGCUAGGGUUUAUGAGUCGCCAGCGUCACGGGGCGAGAACGAGAAGGGCAGCCAUUUCCAAAAUUCAAAGCGUUUUGACCAAACAGGUUAUUUCAAUUCGAGCAAGCUAAAGUACAAUGUUACAAUUGUCUUUGAUUGAGACACGUUUAAUAUUGAUAGGAGAAAAUUACAUAUACACGAUACUUUUUAAUAAUAUUGGUUCUUACAUUUCUUUAUAAAUUAAUAUUAGUUAGUGUUAUAUAUUUUAUAUAUCCCCUAUGUGUUAUUUGAGAAGCAUUGCAACAUUUUUUUGUAGCCACAUGUCAUCACUAAAAUGAUUCUUAGAAUCUUUAGAAAAAUAAGUUGGUCCAUCUAAAUAUAUAAUAAUUUUUUUAUUAAACCACAAUAAAUACAUUAUUAAUGUGCUUCAUUAUUUCCAUAAAUAAAAUUACGGAAUUGCCUAAUGUGGCUAAAAUAUAUAUAACAAUUAAUGAUUUUGAAUAAUAAAGAUUUGAUAAAAAUAAGUGUGUAUUAUAAUUAUAUUUGUUUAAUUUUAAGCAAUUAAAAUAAAUUAAACAAUUAUAGUAACCAUAUAAUAAAAAUUAAAAAAAAUAUUUAUAUAUUAUAUUUUGAAAUUUUAAAAACUAGUAUAAAUUACUAAAACUGUUAAAAGAUUCGCUAUAUGCCAUAUAAAAAUACAUAAAUAUCUUAAUUUUGAAACUUUCUUUGAAUUUUUUUUUUGAUAAAAAAAUUUGAAAAAAUAUCGACAACUUAAUUUUUAAAAAUAUUAUAAAUUACUUAAAAAAUUAAUCUCAUAGUGAAAAUUUUGCUAUCACUAAUUUAGACUUUUUGCUAUAACAGAUACAUAUGAUUAAAAAAUAUGAGAAAAAAACAUCAUCAAAUAAAUAUUAAUAUUAAAAUAUAUCAUAUAUAUGUUAUUAUCAUUUAAAUUUAAUUAUAUAUCAUAUCAAAUAGAAAAAAUAUUUUUUUUAUUUAUAAAAUGUAUUUAUAUGUUCGCAGUUAUAUAAGUAGUAGAUAAUGACUUUUUAAUUAUUCAAUAUAUACUUAUUAUUUCACUAAACUAUAUGCCAUAUAAAAAUACAUAAAUAUCUUAAUUUUGAAACUUUCUUUGAAUUUUUUUUUUGAUAAAAAAAUUUGAAAAAAUAUCGACAACUUAAUUUUUAAAAAUAUUAUAAAUUACUUAAAAAAUUAAUCUCAUAGUGAAAAUUUUGCUAUCACUAAUUUAGACUUUUUGCUAUAACAGAUACAUAUGAUUAAAAAAUAUGAGAAAAAAACAUCAUCAAAUAAAUAUUAAUAUUAAAAUAUAUCAUAUAUAUGUUAUUAUCAUUUAAAUUUAAUUAUAUAUCAUAUCAAAUAGAAAAAAUAUUUUUUUUAUUUAUAAAAUGUAUUUAUAUGUUCGCAGUUAUAUAAGUAGUAGAUAAUGACUUUUUAAUUAUUCAAUAUAUACUUAUUAUUUCACAAUAUGUUAUAAACAUAUAAUAUAUAAAAUAAUUUAUAUAUAUAAUGUUCAUUCCGCGCAAGGCGCGGGUCUUAACCUGGUAUCGUAAUAUAACUAAUUGUAUUCAAAAUAUUUGGACCAAAUUGGGUAAUAUGAUUAUUUUUGGUACAAAUAUUCUAACUCGUUUCAAAUACAUUUGUUAUUUAGAUUUUUAGAUUUCUAUACAUGAGAACUGAACUCAUACAAAUCCAUAAAGACUAGACUCAAAACCCACACAUCAAUUUAUAAUAUUCAAGCGAAGCCUAAUUUCAGAACGAAUUGAAAAAUAAUAUCUGAAAGGAACAACAUAUACCUAAAUAGAUAUCUAUGUUAAUGCCUAACUGAUUUUAUAAACUAAUAAAAAAUUCAUUCUAUAUGUUUGCCUAAAUUAAUUGAAAUAAAAAGAAUUUUUAUUUAGUAAAAUAAUUAUAUGAAGUGAAAAAUUAAGUGACAAUAAAUGUAAUACAUUUUUACUAUUUUGAUUUAAGUUACUAUUUUAUUCACAAAAACAUGUAUUUGACUUAUGUUUUUGGUUACACAAUUUUCCACCGAUUGAAACUAUAAUAUUAAAAAAAAAAGUUUUAAGAAAACAAACUAAACUGAAUGUUUAACCAUAUGCAAAACCCAGUUAUUUUAGAUUUUAAUUUUAUAAUUGAUACAAAUUUACUUUUGAUUAACUAAUAAAUAAAAAUAUGCACUAUUAUUAUUAUGAUAAUAUAAUUAAUGAUGUGAUAUAAAGUUAAUGUAAUAUAAUUAAUGAAAUUGUUAAACUAAGUGAAAUAUGAAAAGACAAUUAAUGUAAUUAUAUAAAGGAAAUUAUUAAAAGAACAUUUAUGCCUUUUUUUUAUACAGCUAUUCAUGUUUCCAGACAAUUCUCAUUUAUAUUGUUAUCCAUGUUUCCUAAUAGUACCAAAAUGUAUUUCAGUUUUUUUUUGGUCAAAAAUUAUUUCAGUUAUAAUAAUAUAGAUUCAGAAACAAGUCAGGUAGUAUUCAGAGAUUUUUUUUAUGUCAACUUUUUGUUUUAUUAAACGAAACCCAAAGAGCAAUUUCCAAACUGAUUCAACUAUAAUAUCCGGCCCAAAACAAAGCCCUUAUAAAACAAUCAAAUAAAGAUGAAAAUAUGGUUGACACAUGGUCAAUACGUGGCCGUGUUUUCUCAAUCGAGAAAGAAGAAGGCGGUGCCAGAACCUUCGCCGGAAAACCAACAAUGUCCAUCUCAAACUUACUUGAAUAUGCUUGCAUGUUCUUUCACCUUUAAUCGCCGCUAAUCGAAAAUCUUCUUCUCGAAUUGUUAGAUUUUACCAAGGGAAGAGUUUUAGAAGAAAAUGAUAGAAAAUUGUUGGAAUACUAAUCCUUAUGGCAGCCCCAACUCAUCUAGAAUCUGUCCUGAACCUCUGAAGCUUGAUCUAAACCUUGUUUGUUGAUCUUCGUGGAGACUGCGCCUGACACGAGCGAAGCUUGAUACCACCUCUGAAUCAAGAUCUAAGCUUCUCUAACAAAGAGGAAAUUCAACCUCUCGAACGGUUUAAAAAUUAACCUCAUACUUUCGAUGUGUGGAGGGAACCAUUGCAAAUUAACGCAGAAGGAGAAGAACUCUUCCAUAGCUUUAUUUAUGUUCAACAUGUCAGAGAAAGAUGAGAGUGAUAAUCAAGCUCUGGUCUUGUUGAACUUUACACUUCAAAAUCGCCGACGCGAAACAAGAGAUCCCCUAUGCAAAUAGAAAAUCGCCGAGGCAAAUAAAAGAGAUUGGUUUGUUGACCGAAUUAUAUUACAAACAAAAGUUUUAGAUCUGCAUCCCUUUAAAAGAUGUAUUGUUUGGUAAGAGGGAGAAGAGAGAGUUCUCUCUCUAAGGAAGAGAGAGACUCAUUCAGAGAUUUUCUUUUUAAGUAUUUAUCAAACUUUAUAUAAUUUUUAUAUUGCUUAACAACAUAAACAUUUAGCUAGUCUAGUGGUCUUGGUGGUCCUUUCCACAGGUUCGAGUCAUGUUGGUGUCAGUUUUUGGUUUAUUUUUAUUGUUUUAACGAGUGGUAGAUCUGCAAUUUUGAUUUCAUCUUCUUUCCCUCGUCCUAUAGUCUAAAACGGCAACACAUAUUUUAACUUUUGAGAGCGUUUAUAUGAAAACACGGCCAAUCAUUAACCUAAAACGCAUAGCCUGUUUGAUAUUAGCGAAGCUUAAAUUAUAGAAAGUCAAAAGGAAAUCACUGUCAGUUGGUAUUACAUGGUGAAAACAAAGUAACUUUUAACUAGUAUCUUGACACUUUAACAUACUAUUUAAUUUGCCAAAAUUUUAGGACACACUGAAAAAACAUGAUCAUCAUGAUUAAAGAAUCUCAUGCAUGGUCAAAUUUCACAACAAAACUGGAAGCGAUAAAGACUUCCAAAGACUAUACAAGAUUUUCUACAUUUUUCGAGAGUAAAAUAAAAAUUCAGAUUCUCUAGUUAGAACUACAAAAUAUUUUUAUAGAAAACUUUGCUUUGUUGCUUGUUAUAUACUAGUCUGGUUGACCAAACCAUCUCUAAUUUGAGCAAUAAAAUGGCCUGUAAGAAAAACAAUUGAACAUACUUUCAUCAUGUCAAACACUUCAUGCUUCUGAAUUUCUUAAAAUGACUUCCCAACUAAAACAUACUGAAAACAAAAUUUUUUAUCGUUUACAUCUGAAACAUUUCCUCAUUAACUUGUUUUUUUCUUUACGAUUGAAUCCUUAAUCCGCUGCAUCUCAUACACUUCACCGGCGAUUGAAGGGUUAAACCGGCAGCAACACACAAAGUCUAACCACUGAUGAUCCACACUUAUCGAUGGCUCAUGCUAUCUCGCUUCUCCGACGAAUUUUUUCAUGGCUCUGGCUAUAUAUCUCACUUCUCUGGCAAACUGUUGUAUAAUUACGGCUUGACGAUGAGACACUUUCUCCAUUUUACUCUCACAACUGCUGAUUAACAAUGAAAGAUUUGACUUUUCAUCACUUGUUGUACUUUUCUCUUUCAUUGUUUUGAUGUUUCAAAUCCUAAAUCAGGCGAUUCAUAUUCAUAUGAACAAAAUUUUCUUCUUGUAUAGUUACCGGAAUGUCCACAUCGGUUCCGACCACAUACUACUUAACCAUGUCCAUUACAAAACUUCUUUCAUUUCCAUGAAAUGCACUAAAAAUAUUGUAAUGUUCCUACUGUCCAGGGCUAAUAGGCCUUCCACGCCCACUCACUCGGUUUGUGGACCCCAUUUUGUAUGACGGGUGGUGCGUUAAUUUUUCGGUGGCUCGAAAGUUUUGUUUACCGACCCUGCAAGCACCACAUGACCUUUAUAUGUGUUUUGGCCUCACUUACACGAUACCGUGAAUGACUUCCGGAUAUCUUACAUAUCAUUUUACUACUCCAGCUCAAACACGCUUAACCCUAGAGUUCUAAAUAGAUGUUUGCCCAAAUAGGCAAAUACACUUUAAUGGCAUAAGUAUCCAAAUCAAAUCCUGUUAAAUAUUUUCAUAUAUCACAAACCGAGAUGUUACAAAUAUCUUGUCCACAUGAAUUGCAACUAUAUAAACCUAAACUAAACAAUUUCACUAACACAAGUCCUAGACCCAACCUCACUGUCAACGUCAUCUACCACUUUCGUGUCAACGGUUGUUACAACCACAUCCUAAACCUAAACACACCUUGAACAGUUUAAUACGAUUUCUUUUUCUUAAAUGAAUACAUUAUCAUUUCUAUUUUGUUAUGUCUAAAUGUUUAAAAAUACAAUAUCAUAUGUUUUGUUUAAUUUUUUAGUGAAAUCUUACAUUGAUCACCACAUAAUCUGCCAAACUAUCUAAAUCUGUUGACGUGAGUGUCACAUCAACAAUUUUAUUAAUGUAGAUGCCACGUGUAAAAUGAUAUUUUAUAAAAUACGUGUUCUAAAAAAAAAAAUUCGAAUUGUAUUAUUUAAUAAAUUUUAAUUAUUAUAAAUAAAAAUUAAACUUACUAAAUGGAAUAAAAUUUAUCUAAUAGGAGUUAUAUAUUCGUUGAUAAUUCAGUCCUAACACUUGCUCUCGUAUUACUCUCAAUAAUAUUGGCUAUCUUGUUUUCAUUAAAAAGAAUUUUGACAUGUUGUGUAAUCAUGCUACUAGGAUAAGACAUACGUCUUGCGCAUACUAAAUUUAUAUGAAAAUUAUUUAAUAAAUAUUUUAUAGAAAAAUAAAAUUUAUAUUCUUGAUCGAAUUAAUAUUUUUUUGUUAAUUACAUAACUUGUUUACUGAUGAGCUGAUCCCAUUUUUAAAAAUAUUUUAGAUAAAAAUUCACUUAUCACAUAAGAACCUAACGUUUAGGCCAAAAACUCUCAUGUCUACUAUUUGGUUACCAUGAAACUAUGUCAGCUCGGUUUAUAUCAUGAUUUAGCAAUUUAAAAGUUAAUUACAGUUAUGAGAAGUUUAUGUUCACGUGCCAAUCUUAUCUCUAUCUUCAAUAUUUUUCUCAUUUUUGCGUAGUUAUUUUCAUUUUGGUUAUUGCUCGAUAUAAGUAUUGAUUUUGAGUUUAUUCUAAUUUUGUUAUUUUGUUUUCUCCUAAGAUUUAGAAAAUAUUAAAAUUUAAAAUUAUUAAAGAGAUACUUACUUAGAUUAAGAUCCGCGCGUUAUACAUAAUAAAUAUUUUAUAUUUAUUCCCUUUUUAUGGUUUUGAAUAUUAUAAAAUAAUAAAAUAAUAAUUAUAUAUUAAAUAACGGGCAAUUGUCAAUAAUAGCACAUUUUGAAGUUUAUGUCUCAAAAAUGGCACUAGAAGGAGAAAGUCACAAAAAUGACAUUCAUUAAAGGAUAAAAUAUCCCUAAUACCUUUGGUUUAAAAUUAAAUAAACAAACAAAAAUAAAUAAAAUAAAAAUAAAAAAGUGAAAUUUUUUUUUAUAGUUUCAGAUUAUAUGUUUUCAGAUUCGAAAUUUUUAUAAAUUUUUUUUUGAAAUUUUUUAUUUUUUUAUUUUUAUUUUUUCAAAUUUUUUUUUUAUAAUUUAAAAAUACUUUUUGAAACUGUUUUUAAAAUUUUUAUUUUUUAUUUUAGUAUUUAUUUUUUAUAAAAUUUUAAACCCUAAUUCCAAAACCCCACCCCUUAACUCUAAACCCUAAGGUUUNNNNNNNNNNNNNNNNNNNNNNNNNNNNNNNNNNNNNNNNNNNNNNNNNNNNNNNNNNNNNNNNNNNNNNNNNNNNNNNNNNNNNNNNNNNNNNNNNNNNNNNNNNNNNNNNNNNNNNNNNNNNNNNNNNNNNNNNNNNNNNNNNNNNNNNNNNNNNNNNNNNNNNNNNNNNNNNNNNNNNNNNNNNNNNNNNNNNNNNNNNNNNNNNNNNNNNNNNNNNNNNNNNNNNNNAUUUUGCUACUUCGGUUAAAAAACUUGACAUGCAUUUUCGGAUCGGGUUCGGGUGCCACUUCGGAUAUCGGGUAAAGUGCCCAUCCCUACUAAUUAGGUUAUUUGUUUUUAAUAACUUACCUUUCUAAUAUGGAUUACUUGUGCAAGUUGAAAUCAUUAAAUAUGCAAAUAACUUAUUGACAAAAUUUGUUUUUAAUAACUUACCUUUCUAAUAUAGAUUAAUUGCGCAAGUUCAAAAUCAUUAAAUAUGCAAAUCACUUAUUCACAAUAUGGAUUACUUGCGCAAGUUGAAAUCAUUAAAUUUUAUCGAUUUAGUUUACCCUUGGGCAAGAUUUAGAAUUAAGACAAAUAUUAAAAACUUUCCUUAUUAUUCAAACGGUAAACUUGCGCAUGUUGAUAUCAUAUUUAUUAUAUUGCUUACAAAAUAUUUUAAUGUUUCUAAUUAGGUUGUUUGUUUUUAAUAACUUACCUUUCUAAUAUGGAUUACUUGCGCAAGUUAAAAUCAUAUCAUAUGCAAAUCAUUUUUUGACAAUACACAUUUAAUAUCUUUCUUUAAACGAUUUUAUUAUUUAUUGUGCAAAAUAUUAAAAUCAUUAAUAUGAGAAUAAAUCGACUGUAUAUAUAUAGGAGACACCCAAGGUCUUAAAAUACAAACAUUCUCUUUUCAUUCUUUAAAGUAUUAUUCACAAAUCUCUCCUCUCAUACUAUUAAGGUAUUACGACAAUGCUGCUUGUGUGCUAAGAAAAAUGUGUUUAGACGCAAAGGCUCCUCAUCUUUAGAACCCUGAACUCAACUCUUUGUGUCUUGUCUCUAAAAAGCAUGUCUGGUCUAUCUUUUCCAUGUGUUGAAUACUGGUAACGACAAUAUGGUCUUCCUUUUUUUUUAUGUUGACAAGGUCGUGAGAGUGAUAGUGAUCCAGAAAACCUUGAUUGAACAUGCUGAGAAGCUUCGCCAAGUUAAAGUAGUUCUUGAAGAGGUUCUUUAGUACUUUCUCUCUCUUUGUUGAAUAUUGUCGAGAAAAGUAUUACAUAGUAUCAUUUAGUAAUACUAUCUUAUAUCAUUUUUUUUGUUGAAUAUACUAUCUUAUAAGUAAGCUAGCAUUAUGCAUUUUUUAUUUAAUUCAUAAGGUCAUUUUCUCACAGCAGAGAACUUUUUGGAAUGGCGCAGAGAGGAAAUUUCUCAGAGAUAUACAGGAAGGUUCAACUGAAGCUGCUUAAGUGGGAUGGUGAAGGCGAAGAAUAAAGACCUGUAGAGACCCUUAUGAUUCUUAAAUACGGCGGUGUUCUAACUCACGCUGGUAGAAAACAUGUGAACAUACUCUACCAUUUAAUUUGUCAUUGUUAUAUAUAUAUAUAUAUAUAUAUAUAUGUUUUCCAAAUAUGGAAAAAUUGUUUAACUUAUUGACGUUUAACAUCACUUGCCAUAUAAUCUAACGAAUAUUACAAAUAACAAUUUAUGGAAACUAUUCUCGAAAUUAUUGAAAGACUAAUAAUGUUUUAUUUAUUACUUUUAAUAUUUAUAACCUAUAAAAUAAAAUGAAUGAAAUUUUAUAUAAGAUAAUUAUAAUAUUUUAUCCUCUACUAGAUGAACUGUGUUCAAAUACAAUUAUAUAAUAACUAUUUUAAAUAUUACAAAAUCCAAAAAUGUUUAUUAAUAUUAUUUUUAAAUUAUUUAUCGUUGUUUAAAGAAUAAAUUUAUCAUAAUUUUAAAAUAAUUUAUAAAAUGCUUACAAAAUACAAGGCAAAGUUGCACUUUCAAGAGUUAAGUCGAGAUCUGGAUUAAAAAUCCUAAUAACUGGUAAAGAAGGGAAGCCGAAGACAAAAACAUUGAAUGUUGUCUACAAACAAGUUUUUCAGAAUAUUUCAUAGUCACGGUANNNNNNNNNNNNNNNNNNNNNNNNNNNNNNNNNNNNNNNNNNNNNNNNNNNNNNNNNNNNNNNNNNNNNNNNNNNNNNNNNNNNNNNNNNNNNNNNNNNNNNNNNNNNNNNNNNNNNNNNNNNNNNNNNNNNNNNNNNNNNNNNNNNNNNNNNNNNNNNNNNNNNNNNNNNNNNNNNNNNNNNNNNNNNNNNNNNNNNNNNNNNNNNNNNNNNNNNNNNNNNNNNNNNNNNNNNNNNNNNNNNNNNNNNNNNNNNNNNNNNNNNNNNNNNNNNNNNNNNNNNNNNNNNNNNNNNNNNNNNNNNNNNNNNNNNNNNNNNNNNNNNNNNNNNNNNNNNNNNNNNNNNNNNNNNNNNNNNNNNNNNNNNNNNNNNNNNNNNNNNNNNNNNNNNNNNNNNNNNNNNNNNNNNNNNNNNNNNNNNNNNNNNNNNNNNNNNNNNNNNNNNNNNNNNNNNNNNNNNNNNNNNNNNNNNNNNNNNNNNNNNNNNNNNNNNNNNNNNNNNNNNNNNNNNNNNNNNNNNNNNNNNNNNNNNNNNNNNNNNNNNNNNNNNNNNNNNNNNNNNNNNNNNNNNNNNNNNNNNNNNNNNNNNNNNNNNNNNNNNNNNNNNNNNNNNNNNNNNNNNNNNNNNAAAGUGGUGGAGAAUCACCAGGAAGUUGAAUAAAUCUCAUAGGAGUUGGCAAGAAGAAGUUAUCCCACUUUCAAAUCAGGUGAUUCCAGUUUCCCAGUUUGGGAAUAGCACAGCUUCUUCAUCGUUCCAAUCAAACCAUGAUGAAUCACUUUGUGAAAAGCUUGAUUUGGAUACAUAAAGUGGUGGAGAAUCACCAGGAAGUUUAAUAAACCCAUAGGAGUUGGGAUGAAGAAGUUAUCCCACUUUCAUUGUAGAUUUCGUUAAUCCCAUAUAUAGCUAGGGGAUAAUAAUUAUCGAUUUAGUUUAGCAUUGAGCAAGAUUUAGAACUAAGACAAAUAUUAAAAACUUUCCUUAUUAUUCAAACAGUAAACUUGGGCAUGUUGAUAUCAUAUUAAUUGCAUUUGCUUAGAAAAUAUUAUAAUGUUUCUAAUUAGUAGGGGUGGGCGUUCGGGUACCCGUUCGGGUUGGGUGUUUUGGAUUUUCGAGUAUUUCGGUAUAGAGGUGUAGAACCCGUUUGGGUAUUUCUGUACUUCGGGUCGGAUUCGGGUAUUUUUAGUUCGGAUUCGGUUAUUUCAGAUCGGGUUCGGAUAUUUAGAUUUUGAAAAAAAAAAAAAAAUUUUCAUUUCUCAAGUUUCUUAUAUUUAAAAAUAUAACUUUCAGUUAACUAAUUUUUUAUUUUUAAUAGAUUGAAUGGUUAAUAGAUUUAGACAUAAAAAUUUAAAACUAAAAAGGCAUUAAUUUAGUUAUUUUUAAAAAANNNNNNNNNNNNNNNNNNNNNNNNNNNNNNNNNNNNNNNNNNNNNNNNNNNNNNNNNNNNNNNNNNNNNNNNNNNNNNNNNNNNNNNNNNNNNNNNNNNNNNNNNNNNNNNNNNNNNNNNNNNNNNNNNNNNNNNNNNNNNNNNNNNNNNNNNNNNNNNNNNNNNNNNNNNNNNNNNNNNNNNNNNNNNNNNNNNNNNNNNNNNNNNNNNNNNAUCUUACUAAUUAGGUUGUUUGUUUUUAAUAACUUACCUUUCUAAUAUGGAUUACUUGCGCAAGUUGAAAUCAUUAAAUGUGCAAAUCACUUAUUCACAAUAUGGAUUACUUGCGCAAGUUGAAAUCAUUAAAUAUGCAAAUCACUUAUUCACAAUAUGGAUUACUUGCGCAAGUUGAAAUCAUUAAAUAUUAUCGAUUUAGUUUACCCUUGGGCAAGAUUUAGAAUUAAGACAAAUAUUAAAAACUUUCCUUAUUAUUCAAACGGUAAACUUGCGCAUGUUGAUAUCAUAUUUAUUACAUUGCUUACAAAAUAUUUUAAAGUUUCUAAUUAGGUUGUUUGUUUUUAAUAACUUACCUUUCUAAUAUGGAUUACUUGCGCAAGUUAAAAUCAUAUUAUAUGGAAAUUAUUUUUUGACAAUACACAUUUAAUAUCUUUCUUCAAACGAUUUCAUUAUUUAUUGUGUAAAAUAUUGUGCGUUAUUAAUAUGAGAAAUAAAUCGACUGUAUAUAUAUAUGAGACACCCAAGGUCUUAAAAUACAAACAUUAUCUUUUCAUUCUUUAAAGUAUUAUUCACAAAUCUCUCCUCUCAUACUAUUAAAGUAUUACGACGAUGCUGCUUGUGUGCUAAGAAAAAUGUGUUUAGACGUAAAGGCUCCUCAUCUUUCAUCGACUCUGCCACCCACUUUGACUUGGAAGUAUUAUAUGCUACUUGAUGAAUCGACUCUGCCACCCAUUUUCAUCGACUCUGCCACCCACUUUACCUUGGAAGUGUUAUAGAAAAAUUAAUAAUGUUUUAUUUAUUACUUUUAAUAUUUAUAAACUAUAAAAUACAAUGAACGAAAUUUUAUAUAAGAUAAUUAUAAUAGUUUUAUACUCUACUUGAUGAAUUGUGUUCGAAUAUAAUUAUAUAAUAACUAUUUUAAAUAUUACAAAAUCCAAAAAUGUUUAUUAAUAUUAUUUUUAAAUUAUUUAUCGUUGUUUAAAGAAUAAAUUUAUCAUAAUUUUAAAAUAAUUUAUAAAAUGCUUACAAAAUGCAAGGCAAAGUUUCACUUUCAAGAGUUAAGUCGAGAUCUGGAUUAAAAAUCCUAAUAACUGGUAAAGAAGGGAAGCCGCAGACAAAAAUAUUGAAUGUUGUCUACAAACAAGUUUUUCAGAAUAUUUCGUAGUCACGGUACGUAAUUUUAAUCUAUUUUUUUUUUCAAAUACAAAUUUUAAAAUGAAUAAACUGUUGCAAUUAUUUAUUUUUUGUAUUUGCUAGAUGGGUUGUGAUGAGUUAGGAGACCGAUGACGGUAUGUCAAUUUAAUAUUAUUUCAUGUUCAAUAAAAUUUAGAAAUUUAUAAAUCUAUCAAAUAAUGUUAACCCGUCAAAUUGCUUACAAAAUUUAUUUAAUUUUUUGCAAGUUUCUAAUUGAAUUUGCUUUCUUUAUCGAGAAAUGUACUUCAUAAUUUAUAUUAUUUAUGGAUAAUAUUUUGAUUUUUAUUAUAUUUUCUUUUAAUAUGUCUACAUAAAUGUUUGUUUAUUAUUUAUGGAAAAAUAAUAUUAUUCACCUAAAAUAAAGAAUUACGAAACAUAUACAAUACAAUUCUAAUUAAUGAUAAUAUAAAAUCUGUUACUUCUAAAACUAUACACUAUUUAUUCCUUUUUUUGAAUGAAAGUAUCUACGUAAACACACAAAAUAUUUUGUGACGUUGCAAUUAUACAUACAUACAAUAUCUGCCUCUUCAUACUGACGUUACUGUGUUCCCUCUCGUGAGGUACGGGCCGAGAGAGAACACAGAGUACGGACCGAUCAUGUUCUUAUGCCCGCACAGAAUGCGGGCCGGUCACCUAGUAACUAAGAAAUCAAUUACUAUUAUGUAAUAAAUUGGCGUGCGCAUAUAAAUCAAACGACCACUCUUGUUUAUUCGCAAUCAUUUUAGGGUACAUAAAUCAAAACAAUCAAUUUUAUCUAUCGUAUAUGAUAUAUAAUUAAAUUUAAAUGAUACUAACAUAGAUAUAUAUUAUAUUUUUAAUAUGAAUAUUUAUUAAAAAAGGUUUCUACUCAUAUUAUUUAUGAUUAUUUUCUUAUUUUUGUAUCAAAAUUUUAUACCAACGAUUUUUUUUUAUGUUGAAUGUUUAGUGGCUUCAAUAAUUUAUAAUCAUUUAAAAAACAUUGAAGAUUUCAAAAUUAAAACAUUAACUUUUCAAUAUAUGUUCAACGUAGAUAUCAAAAUAUUAGUAUGUUUUUUAAUAUUAAAAUAAAAUUAUUUAUUCAUAUGAUUUUAUAAUCAUCGUAUCGUAUUAUAAAAAAAAAUUUAAAUAUUGAUCACAAAAGUUUAUGUGAGACUUUUAACAAUUUUAGUAAUUUAUAUUCGUUUUGAAAAAUUUAAAAUACAACAUAUACAAAAAAAAUAUAAAAUUUUAUUAUAUGAUUAAUGUAACUCUGUAAUUUAUUUUAAUAACGAAUAAUUAAACAAAAAUGAUAGAAUACAUAUUGUUAGCAAAUAUUUAUUAUUUAAAAUCAUUAAUCCCUUAUAUACUAAAACAGAAGUCACAUAACGAAUCAAAUACUGACACAUGGCAUUUAUUUACAAAUUUAAUUUAAGUUUGAUUUUUAAAAAUUCUGAUUCUGAUUUUUUUGAAACUGCAAAUGCUUAAUCCUUAAUGUUUCUCACAUUAUCACCACUAUGUUAACUUUGAAACUGUUUUAUAUUUUAUUUAUUUUACUCUCCUUAUCUUCUUUGCUUCAUUCUCCUUAUGGUGAGUUCUUCGUCUAAUCAAAAAAAUAAUCGAUACAAGUUAGGUAUUUAUAAUGAUGUAAAUUAGGUAUUUAUAAAUUUGUUUUUUCUAAACCUUAUCGGCUUGACUAUUUGGCAAAUCUUUUUUUUUUUUAAGCAGAGUAUCUUAUAUUAUCUUACAAAAUUUCUAUUAUAUAAAAGUUGUCUAUUUUCCAUACAUGCAUGUAGGGGUGUCAAAAUGGGUAAACCAACCCAAACCAAACCAUAUCCAAAUGGUUUUAAGUUUAUAUGGGUUAUGGUUUUAACCAAUCCAUUUGUCAAAUAGAUUGGGUAAAUCCAUAACUCAUUUAAGUUAAUGAUUUAAUGGUUUUAAUGGUUAACUCAUGAAAAAUAAUUUUAUAGCUUAAAUGGUUACUAUGUAAAAAUAUUACUUUGGGGCUGAAAACAAAAAGAAUACUUAGACUUUUGAUAAAUACAAUUAUAUGGUUUUGGUGUUAAAAACAAUUAUAUUAUUUUACCAGAGAAAAUAAUUUUGUGAUUUUAGUGCGAAAACUACUUUUAACAUUUUUGCGGGAAAACAAGAUUUUCUGUUUUAGUAGAAAUACAAUUUUAUGGUUCUGGCAAGAAAACACAGUAUUACGGUUUUGGCCGAAAAAUACAAUAUUGCGGUUUUGGUGAGAAAAGAUGAUUUGCGGUUUUGGCGAGAAUAAUCAAUUUUGCGGUUUUGGUGGAAAAACUCAAUUUUACGGUUUUGCCAAGAAAACAUAGUAUUAAGGUUUUGGCCGGAAAAUACAAUAUUGCAGUUUUGGCGGGAAAACAUGAUUUUGCGCUUUUGGCGGAAAAAAACAAUUUUGAGAUUUUGGUAGGAAAUUUCAAUUUUGCGGUUUUGGCGAGAAAACUCAGUUUUACGGUUUUGGCGGGAAAACUCAAUUUUACGAUUUUGGCAGUAAAUUCAAUUUUACGGUUUUUACGAGAAAACACGAUUUUGCAGUUUUGGCGGAAAAACUCAAUGUUACGAUUUUGGUGGGAAAACUCAAUUUUGCGGUUUUGGCGGGAAACUCGAUUUUAUGGUUUUGGCGGAAAACUCAAUAUUACGGUUUUGGCGGAAAAACUCAAGUUCACGGUUUUGGCAGUAAUUUCAAUUUUACGGUUUUCACGAGAAAACACGAUUUUGCAGUUUUGGCGGAAAAACUCAAUUUUUCGAUUUUGGGAAAAAAAACUCAAUCUUGCGGUUUUGGCGGGAAACUUGAUUUUAUGGUUUUGGCGGAAAACUCAAUUUCACGAUUUUGGCGGAAAAACUUGACUUUGCCGUUUUGGCGGAAAAUUUUUAUUUUACGGCUUUGGUGGAAAAUUAUGUCAUAUGUUCAGUUAAAAUCGCUAUAUGGUUUCAGUUUAUUUUCCAAAAUUUUAGGUUUGUAAAAGUUAUAACACAUUAAAAUUGUAUCUUAAUUUAUUUUUUUAGUUCGGAUAACUAGAGUUUUUAAGGUCAUUUGGCUUUUAACCAUAAACUAUGGUUGUAUCUACUUUUAUUUAAAAAAAUCCCUAUUUUAUUUUAUAUGGUUACAUAAUGGAUUUUCUAUAACAUUUUACUAAAACAGAAAAUAAACUAAUUUAGUUUUGGUAAUUUUAACAUAUCAUUUUAUCGUAUUUUCUGUGAACCCAAUAUUUAUUAUUUACACAGAGGUGCGGAAAAAUAGAGUAAUAAUGGAGUUGUAAAUAGUUAGAAAUAAAAGAGCAACAUUUAUGUGGAAGCACCCUAGCCUAUUGGUUAAGGUUUAAAGGCUUCUACACCCAUGUCUGGGGUUCGAAUCCCAGACUAUGCAAUUUCUUGCAGAAUAUAGGAUGCAAGGCUUUCGGAGGUUCCAGAGUACUGUAAGCAGAGCCGUUCGUUGUGGUCGCAUGUUGCGGUGAGAGCCUGUCCAUCGAGGAUGUCGUACAUGCAGAACCGUCCGUGGUUUUAAGUGUUUCGGGGAGAGCUUCAUCGUGGAAUCAUUAUUCGUGAAGGUUUUCAUCAGUAUCGCAUAUGUUGCAGGUAGUUGAUAAUCAUAUGUAAUAGAUUUAGAUAUUAUAUGAUGAUGUAAUGUGUUACCCAACGUUCAAAAAAAAGAGCAACAUUUAUAAAUAUGUGCUUAUUUAUCUACAAAUAAUAAUAAGAAUAAGGUUGUUAUUUCUUAAUAUGAUUACAUGUCAGUUCGAUAUUAGCG